UUGUUUAGCUUUCUUUGCUUUGAAAAUCUGUCCGGUUCACCAUAUUAUCAGAUUUGAGAGACUAUGAAUUAUUAAUGGUUAUAUGAUCUGUUAUUUUUUGGUCGAUUUGGCAACAAGUUAACUCACCAUGUUUCCUUUGAAAUCCUUUCGAACUCAAGGAUUUGUUGUCAAUAAAUUUGAGCGACAUAUUAUGCGUAUACAUUGAUUUAAAUAAUGGGAGUUUCUUUUCUUAGAUUUUGGUGUCUGCUUGUAAUGCCUAAUAUGGUCUCUAAUGUACUGUUAAAUUUUAAUAUGAAUAGAUGCUUUAAAUUUUGCACAUUUACAGUCACCAUAGGCAUAUUAAGUUAUUAGCUUUAGCUUAAUAUGAUUUCGUAUUGAUUCUAAUUUUUGUUUCCUCUUUCUCUUUCGCAUGAACACUCUCUUAUUCGAGUUCAUUUGGACUCCCCAUCUCUUACAUAUUCCUCUUAUUGAGUCAACCUCCAUUGGAAUCGUGAAAGGGAAGAUAGUAUUGUUUGGUUAAAAUCCAAACCGAAGGCAGCAGCUCAGUAGCGAAAUAAUAAUGGUCCUAAAGGGCUGAAGUCCGAGUUUUUGGACUUAAAAUUUCAAUAAAAUGACCAGCAGUAGCAGCUGCCUCUAAAAGGCAGAAAAACGAGGAGCAAAAUUGGGUAAAAAUCCUAAAAAACAGCAGCAACAGUAGCCUCAAAGGGCUGAAAAACGGAGCAGCAGGAGCAGCCUUAAAAAGGCUGAAAAUUGAGAAUUUUUGGACCUUCGAAAGUCCAAUUUAAACAGCGACAGCAACAUCAACCAGAAGGAUUGGGACUUGGGCUGAAAUAAAUUUCAGUAGCUUCUUUACUUUCCUUAUUCCCUUAAUUUGCCUUGUCAUUGCUAUAUUUUCUUUAUUAUAUUUGAUUGGGAAAGCUAACAACUUUAAGAUCCUUUUUCCUUAACCUAGAUGAAUCGUUGGAAGGAUUUUUAUUUCAUAUUAUGUUGUUUGUUUGCUUUAAAAUUUUCAAAUUCCCAAAAUCCAUUUUUAGUUAGGUAAUUUAAGCUUAUAGAAUGACUUAAGAACCUCUCAUGUUCUUUCAUAGUUAUUUAAAAGCUUUGAAUCCAUUUUUAUAAGUUUGAACUAAACUAUUUAGUUCAAAUUUUUGAAUAGGAUAAAAUUGUUAAGUUUUUUUUUAGAAUAAACUAGUUGUCUUUUAAUUUAAAUUAGGACUUUGUAUGAAUGACUUAUGGAUCUUCAAUAUCCUUUCAUAGUUGUUAAACAAGUCCUUUAAUCUAUGUUUGUGAGUUUGAAUUAAUCGUAUGAUUCAAAAAUAUUCCUUUUUUUAAAUGGUUUUCUUAAUUUUUCCUAAAAAACUAAGUGGCGACUUCCAAAUUACUCAUUUUUCCAAACAUGUACAAUAUUGCCAAAAGUUGCGAAAUUGGUUCCGAAACCUUAGUUUUCGAAAUCAGGUCGUAACAAACACAACACUAUUUCGAUAUUGUUUUAUCAACUUAUCAAAUUUGUGUGUCAGGUUUUAUUAUUCUAACUUUAUUUUAUAGUUUUUCUUGAAAAUUUGUUGUUAUUGUUCUAUUUUUAGUUCAUAAGUAUAUAUAUUCUUGUUUUAGUUAUUAUUAAAAUUAUUCAAUUUAAAUAUGUCAACGAGAAAAUAUGACUCUGAUUUUACAAAAAGAGAGAAAUAUAAACUUGAUGAAUUAAAUAAAUCCCAAAAAGAGCCCUUGAUAGAUUUUUAAAAAAUAAUACAGUAAAAAUUUUGAAUUAAAAAAUAUUGCCUAUAGAAUAAUGUUAACAAUUCUUGUAACUGUUGCCUUAGCCAAAAGAAGUUUUUUCGAAACUAAAAUUGAUAAAAUCUUAUCUAAGAUCAACAAUGUCUCAAGAGAGAUUGAAUGGAUUAACUAUAUUAUCAAUUGAAAAGGAAUUACUAAAACAAACCGAUUAUAAAACAGUAAUUAAUGACUCCGCAUCUAAAAAGGCUAGAAAAGUAAAUUUUAAAUAAAAAUAUUAGGUCCCCUCUUUAAGGUUUGGCUUUAGACCCCCAAUCUUGUUGAGUCGUAUUAAAGACUAGUACACUACAAUUUAUGUUCAAUUUUUUUAUUAAAUUAAAGUUAGAUGAAACAAUUACUUAAGUGGAAAUCAAAUAGUUUUGUAAUAAUUUAUUAUGCGAUUUUAUAAAUUUUUGUUUAUUUGAUAAGAUUGAAUAAACAAUUGAGGCUAUUUUAAUAGUUUUACAACUUAUGGGAUUUUUAUGUUUAUGAGAAAAUAUACAACACAAAAAUUUUAUAUCGCAUGUCCAAACGAAACUUCAAUUUCAUCUCAUGAUUUCAUAUCAUGAUACCAUAUCGCAUGGCCAAACGGACCCUAAGUCUAUCCGUGAGUUUUUGCUAUCAUUAUAGGUUCCUUUUCUACCACUAGACCAACAAUAUACUCUACUAAUUGUUUCCAAAAUCUUUUUGAUUAUAUAUUUACCACAUUUGGAUACAAGAUCGAUCUACAUAAAAGUUAUUGAAUUUUUGAAAACUUGUAUCUGCUCCCAGCUUAUGGCUUUAAGUUUGAUGCCUAAAAUAACACAUAAAAAUCAUUGUACAUAUAUAGAGUCAUUUCAUGUCUUCACAUAAAUUUCUAGGGCCAGAAGAUAGGAUUAGUAAAUUGAAUGACAAUGUCCCUUCAGCAACUGGUUGACAGAAAACUUCCAAUUCAUACAAGGUGGUACCACCAACUGGGAAGGCACUGACUCCAAUGUAUACAAACAGUUUAUUAUUAUAAUAAAUAAAUUUUUACUUUUACUUACACAUUUAAUAUAUAAAAAUAUAUACAAUUUCUUUUUUUCAUUUUUUUUAUGAUUUUCCAUUCGGUGGGUGGAGCCUACAUUGGAGCCCCGAUUAAAUUCGAAUCGCGUACUGCAGAGCCCAUUUAGGGGUGACACUCCCAUACAUGAUUUUCUCCCUAUUCAGGGCUGAUCAAACCAGAGAUCUCUAGUUAAGGGUAAAAUAGUCCCACCACUGCACUACAAUCCAUGUUGGUCUUUUUCAUAUUUUACUUUAAUAUCAACCAUUCAUUCCUCAAUAAUUAUUUCCCAAAUUUUAUCAUCAUUAUACACUAAUUAAUAUAACUAUUAUGAUAAAAUAUGUAUUUAAUUUAUAAUUAUUUAAGAGAGUGUGAAGUCUGUUAUAAACAAGUAAAACUGAACGAAGGAAUUAUAAAUUCACUAACUUGCAUGUCUCUUUAAUUUUAAGGCACACUUUCCCAUACCUUGAUGUAAGCACAUGACAUAUAAGUAAAUUGAAAUUUGAGAAUGCAAAUUGAAAAAUUUAGGAAAUGUAUGGUAAAUAAUCCAAACGCAGAGGAGAAAGAAGUAAUAUACGCCAAAUUCCCAACUAAAUCAAUAGGUGUUUGACUAUAGAUUUCAAAUAUUUUUAUUUUAUUUGAAAUUUAUAAAGUUGUGAUUGGUUAUACUUUUUUACAAAUAAUAUUCAGACCGUUCAUGCUUGAAUGUACUUAAAAUACAACUUUAAAAAUGAAAAAUGAGGUGCAAAACAAGCUACUUUCUGAAUAUAAAAUUCAACUUCAAGUUGAAUUAAGAAUUUUCAUGUCCCAACAGUAUUUUCCAAGGGUGGAGCCACAUAGGGUUCAACGGAAAUUACAUUGUUUACGUAUGGUUAAAAUUACUAGGAUUUUACCUAAUCCUAUAAAACAAGUUUUUAGGUUUUUGCAUGUUUUUUCACAGCUGCCUAAUGAGCCAUUGGCCAUUGUACGUGGUUGCAUGGUAGCCCUUUUAAUGGACUUCUUUCAUGGGCUUCGACCUGGGCCUUCACUUCAAUCAUCUUCUUUUUGUUUGUUGGGGAACUUUCGCAAAUAUCCGUUAUAAUAAAUUUAAUUAUACUCUAUAGCUAUAGUUUGCAUAUUUACGGGUUGUAGCUACAGUUUAAGCUGCCUCAUUUUUAUAAAACACGGAUUUGUAUAAUUCACAUGUUUGUAUAAUUCUCGGGGUACAUUUGUAUAAUUCAGUUGUUUUUGUAUAAACUCGAAAUAACGAAGUUAUACAAUUACAAACAUCAGAAGUGUAAACAAUUAUACAAAUUAUAUCAUACAAAAUUCAAAUUAUACAAAAGUUAUACAAAUUAUAUUAUACAAAUUCCGAAUUAUACAAACGUGUGAAUUAUACAAAACUAAAAAACUGAGCCAUAAUUAUAGCUAAAAGUAGGUCGCGAAUUGUAAUUAAGGCAAACUAUAGCUAUAUUAACUAAUUAACUAAUAUAUAUUUUCUUAUACGCGUAAUUUUCCCUUAUUUCUUAUUUCGUUCUCGUUCAAAUCUUCUAUCUCAUUUCAAAAUAUAAAAAAAAAAUGAAAUAAGAUAAAAGUAAAAAAGGGUUAAAAUUGUCAUUGAACAAUACAAAAUUUUACAACUUUCUCCUCCAUUAGUAGUUGAGAUCACUUGUACUUAUGCCAUUAUCAAAAGAUGUUAAAUAAGUCUUAAUUUGCUAAUGGUCGAAUGAUAAAUUUUAAUCCUAGUAAAAUUAGAUAAAUUGUAGCAUAGGAAGCCGCCACGUGUCCCUCGCGUGACAAAAUUUACUAAUCCACUUUUGGGAAAGUUCUAGCCUCUCAAAUAACUUAAAGUAUUUACAAUAAGAUAUAUUUCUCUGUGUCGCUAGUCUUUUAAGAUAUAUUUCUCUAUGUCGUUGGUGUAAAUUAGUGUUUGCAGUGUGAUACAUCAUUUAUUUUUUUAAAAUUCAUACAGUAUUCGUUAGUCGUUAUUUAUAUUGAAUUUCUAUUUGUUUAAAUUUGUGUAGUGUAGGACACAUUUGGAAGAAACCUACUUAUCAAUUUAUUUUUCAUAUUCUAAAUUCGAAAUUUUGAGUUUUUGGCUAAAAUCAUCUCUCAGCUAUGACUCAAAUUUAAUGUACAUCCUUAUAUUAUCUAAGUGAGAAAAAAAUAUUCUUAUAAUAUCCAAAAAAUAACAAGAAUCACAAUCACCCUUCAGUCUAUUUUUGUUAAGAAACUGAUUGAAACAAUAAAAAAAAAUAUUUUUUAAUUUGUUCAUGUCUUAUUAUUAUUUUUUAAUAAGGAUAUGGAUAGAAAAUGAAUAUUUUAUUCUCAUAAUUUAAAUUUUGUGUGUUGUUAGUUUAUAUGUUUUUGCAGUAAAUUGACUUGCAACAAUACAUAAGUUUUGAAAUAUUUAGUAGGUUUCACUGGUUAGAAAGAUUAUGUAAAAAACUUAACUUUAAAAAUAUUACGUGCAACUAUUUAGAGAUUUUAUUUAAUAAAAAAAUAUAUAUAGUACAUAUAUAUUAUAUAUACAAUGCAGUUCACAUUUUAUAUAAUAUACAAAAAUACUGGAAAUUUAGUGAAAUUAUGUAGGUGUUUUGUUGUGAAAAUUAAAUAAUAAUUACUUUAUUUGAAAUUUUUGAAGUUGAAGUUGUAUUUGACCAUAUUUUUUACAAAGAAUAUUUAGAAUUUGAAUAUAUUUUGUCUGAAUAUGAUUUAAACCCUCAAUUUCUAAAAAUUGAAAAAAUCACCCAACUUGACUAGCUUAACCAUGUGUACAUAUAUUCAUUCGACUUGACACAUUUUUUGUUGGUGGCGUGAGUUUCUUCAAAUAAUAGACACAAGAAUGAAUCUUGCAACUUUUUGGAUAGUGCAAGGAUGUUUUUUGUUUACUUAUACAACAUAAGAAUGUACUUUUAAGUUUAGGUAAUACUUCAGGAAUGAUUUUAGCCAAAAACUCUUGAAAUUUCUUUAAAUUAAGAGAGAAACAACACCCCAGCAUUUUGAGUGGUACUAUAUGAUAUUUAAUAUUUUGAUGGAAAAAAACUCAACCAUUAGCUCUUUAUUAGUCACAAAAAGUCAAUAUUUGAUGAUGAAGUGAAUUUUCAAAAAUAAUACCACCAUUGCAAAACAAAUCAGAUGGGGAACUACCUUUUGAUUUUAUUUCUCCUUUUGGUCUGUGGGAUUAUUACUUCACAAAGUCAACUCUUUGUUUCUAAUCAGAUUCUUCCGCCGAGCUGUCCGGCGCCGGACCCUACACUUAAUUACCGGCCGAUCAUCGGAAUCGUGAGUCAUCCCGGCGAUGGCGCCACCGGCCGACUCAGCAACGCCACUAAUGUCUCUUACAUUGCAGCUUCCUACGUGAAAUUUGCUGAAAUGGCUGGUGCUAGAGUCAUUCCCCUCAUAUACACAGAGCCUCCCGAAGUUCUCAAUCAAGUAUUUAAAAAUCAAUCUUCCUUUGCUAAAAUAUGAUUAUUGUUUAUCUCGGAUUUAAGCUCCAGUUUGGCUGUAGAUUUAGAUAAUAGUAGAUUUGUGAAAUUUGGUCAAUUUUUGAAAAUUCAUCUACAAAAAUUUGCCCAAACCUGUUUUUGGGUGAAAUUUGACUUCCAUUCACAAAGCUUCAAUCUUUUUCCUUAGUAGAAUGAAUGUCUAAACACAACUUCAAAAACUCAUUUUUUGCAAGUUUCAACUAAAUCUAUGGCCAAACGCUAGCUAAUUGAAUCAGUCAGUCAGUACUCAGAGCUUAAGGGAGGUUUCUCAAAUCGUCGCCAAGAUAUUUAAGCAUGGAUUGAUUGGCAUUUGUUAAUUGAAUUUGUUUUUGCAGAAGCUUAAUCUAGUAAAUGGCAUUAUCUUCACGGGAGGGUGGGCCAAAGAUGGUCUAUAUUUUGAUGUUAUUAAAGGAAUUUUCCAGGUGAUUAUCUACUUUGCUUACACCUAUGUAUAGCUCUUUUUCAGUUUGAAAUGCCUCAUCUUUUAUAGGGUCUUUUUAUUGUUUAGGGAUAGCAAAGAUGUUGUGAGUCUGGGAGGGUAGAGAUGCUUUUUUCGAUAGAGGAAAAAUAGUUCAAAAUAGUCUAGAAAAAGGAGUAAUAAAAGUACACUCAAGAAACAAUAGAUAACAACAAAAAUUGAAGGACAAAAGAAACUAUAGGAGCAAUACUACAACUACUAGUAUAGAUGGAUAACAUGACAACACACUGCUACCUUCUAGCCUUCUACCCUAAUUCGUAUCCUCCGCAACCUCCUAUCUAAGGUCAUGUCCUUGGUAAGAUGAAAUUGUGUCAUGUCCUUGGUAAGCUGAAACAACAUAGCAAAGAUGUUUAUUGAUGAAAAUUGUUGUGACAAUUUUAAAUGCUUACUUGAUACUUGCAGAAAGUUUUGGAGAAGAACGAUGCUGGUGAACACUUUCCUUUACUUGCAAUCUGCUUGGGGUAUGAACUUUUAACAAUGAUCAUCACCAAUGACAACAAUAUUCUUGAGGAAUUCAGUGCAGCGAGCCAAGCAUCUACAGUACAGUUUGUGGAAAAUGUAAAUAUUGACGGAACAGUAUUUGGAAGGUAUAUUCUUAUUCUACUCAUUUAUGUAUUCGCCUUCUUUUUGUUCCAUCUCUUUCAAUUUUCUCCUUUCCUCUUCCUUCUCCAUUUUUAUUUCUCUUAGGAAAAAUGCCAGAUUACCUUAUAUUAAGGUUCUUAAAAGGUAACUAUAAAUGAUUGUUCAUAGUGGUAAAUUUAAGUGUACAUUGAUAGAAAAACAGUAAAUAGACUAAGCCUGAUCUGUUUAGAAAAUUGUAAGGCUCCGAGAUAUUUUUCCUGUAUCAUAGUUGGUAAUUAUGGAUCUCUCUGUUCAAGAAAUCAUAAUAAGCACAUGAUUGGAGAGCCUAAUAUUAUUUGGAAUACUCAAGAACAAAGCCUGGCCUUUUAUGUGAUUUGUAAGAAGCGUCACUUUAUUCUCUUUCCGUUGCUAUGUGUAAAAUGAGUUUGAUUUUGCUAAUGAUGAUGGCAUAGCGGAGAAGGAUUGUCCACUAUACAUUGCCUUCCUGCACUUUAAAAAGCCUAUUGAGCAUUUGACCUUAUAGCAUGCUCAACUCUAUAUUGAAUGAGCACUAACAGGUUGUGAAUGGGUCAGAUUUCAGUGAUAAUUCUUAUUUGCUGAUAUACAACUUGCUAUCAACUUCUAUGCAGAUUUCCCCCUGUGUUGCUAAAGAAGAUGAGUAUAGAUUGCCUUGUGAUGCAAAAUCAUCAUGUAAGUUUCAAAAAAUAGAUUUUUUCUUGUCCUUGUGUAGCACUUUUGUUUUCUAGCUUAAUUGUGAUCUUACAAGGUUUACAACACGUUUUUUUUUGUCCGGUGGAGAUCGAAGUUGCUCAUUGGUAACUCUUGAAGAAUGUCCUAAAUCUUUUAGGAUACUACAUCUAGUAAGGCUGUAUAUCAGUUUUGGGUUUUAAAAAUUUCUUCAUCCAACAUUCGAGUGUGGUCUCUGAGUUACUGCCUACAGUUCUGUUUCAGCUUGUUUCGACAAGGUGUUCAUAUUUAUCCAUGAAUAUUUGCAUCGUUCAUAAACUGUCAACAAGAGAUCAGUCCGUAGUAUGUCCCUGUGAACAUGUAAUACAAGAGAGACAACUCCUUCAGAUGAAUGAUUCAUGUUAAUCUUAUACUCCCUCCGUUCACUAUUACUUAUCAUGUUUGAAUUUGGCACACCCAUUAAGAAAACAAUUAUUGAUAUGACUAUUUACCACACUACCCCUAUUAAUUGAUCUUUAUUAUUAGGUCUUGAAAAAUGAUUUAGGGAAUAAGUAUUUAAUGUUAAGGGUAAAACAUGGAAACAAUAAUUGUCUUUUCUUGAUAUAUUAAAAGUGAUAAGUAAAAGAAAAAUCUAUCUUUGGAAUAGUGGACAAGUAAAGGUGAACAGAGGGAGUACAAUAAUACAUUUUAAGCAGGCUAGAUAUUGCACUUGUCUUUCAGUCUCAUCUUAUUUGUGUUUGCUUUCGGCCUUACUAGCACGUUAAAUAUGCUGUUAUGCUGCUGAUUAAUUGCAUGUUUCUUUAUUAAUGCAACAGUUUGGUAUAUCACCAGAAAGAUUUCAAGCGAAUAAAGAUUUGAGUAGCUUUUUCAGGGUAUUGACAACUAGUACGGAUGAAAACAACAAGGUACAUGUUGAAUUUAACCACCUUUCUUCAUUGGGAUAUUUCUGCUGAUGUUUCCAAUUGGUAUGAAAUCUAGUCGAGAUUCUAGUUGAACUACACUGUUUUGAUUAAUUCAGGUCUAUGUCUCUACUAUUCAAGCAACACGCUAUCCUAUAGCUGCUUUCCAAUGGCACCCAGAGGUAUCAUCUUUGGCUUACGACUUCGGAUUUUCAUUUCUAUCUUGAACAUACAGUGAUUUAAUAGUCGUUAGAUAUAACAAUGUGAGAUUGACUGUUUUCCUUGGAUUGAAUAGCUCAUCUUAGUGCUAACACAUGACUUUUUAUUCUGAGCUGAAAUUCCUAAUUUGAAUAUUUUUAUUGCUUAUAGAAAAAUGCUUUCGAAUGGGGUUCAUCAAGGAUUCCACAUUCUGAAGAUGCAAUUCAAGUCACUACACAUGUUGCCAACUAUUUUAUAAGGUAUACUCUUUUUGAUUUUCCGUCCAAGGAGGAGCUCAAAGGUGCAAAAUGAAAUAUCAAAUAGAACUGACAGAUAAAAAAUGUUAAUAAAACUGAUGCUUUUGUAAUAUGUAAUUUCAGGUUGAGUGCAUCCGUUGUAGCACUAGAUUCAUUUGUACUUACAGAUUUUCAGGCUACGUUUUGUUUUGGAUAUAACAAUAUAAUUUCACUAGUAGAAAGUGAAAUAAUUGAGUUGAAUUCUUAUUCCUCGAGUAUGCUUUUCAAGAAUUGUUCUUACUCUUCAAUUGAAACUGUUUUACUUCUGCAUAUUCUGAUCACUGUUAUGCUUCUAGUUUUGUGUUUUAUUUCUUUAUUUUGAAUUGCAGUGAAGCUAGAAAAUCUUCUAACAAGCCAGUGGCGCGAGAAGUGCUCGAUAGUCUCAUAUACAAUUACAAUCCCACUUAUGGUGGGAAGGCAGGGUAAUUCACACAACAAUUUCAGGUUGGUUAAAAAUUAGGCAUUGAUUUUCGGAAACUUCAUUCUUCUUUUUUUGUUUCUUGUUCUGUAGGAAGGGUUAUGACGAGGUUUAUCUCUUCACUCCGCAUUCUUCCUCGAGCUCUAUGUAGAGAAAAAAACACCAGUUUAAUUGAGCAAUAACAACUGCACAAUCUUAUUGAUGCAUAUGAAGUUCUACUCGAGAGUUGAUGUUAGUGUGUGAUGUAAACCGCGUUGCAACUGGACCACAAGCCUUAUCUUAAUGGAGAUUAUGUAUUAUUUAUGCAUAUUAAGAAACAUUUUAAAACAUAAAUACAGUGUCUUGCCAAAGUUAUUUUAGAUAUUAUGCAUGAAAUUAAACAGAGAAAUGACCAAAAUAGUCCUUAUACUGUAUAAGGUUUGGACUAUUUUAGUCCUUGAUAUGUAUGCGUUAACAGAAAUGGUCCUUAACGUAUGCAAAAAAUGGAUUGUUUUGACGUAAACAUCUAAUGCAAGUAUAAAUUUUUAAGCCUGUAAACACUGAGUGUGACAGGUAACUAGUAGCAUGAGCCAUCAUGAGGUGUGAGUACGAGUGGUGACUGCAGCUUCCUUUGUAUGGGCAUAUUAUCACUUUCAAUUAUUACAAGUACCAUGCAAUGACUGUAAAGCUCGUUUGAUAGGAGAGAUAAAUAAUAACUAAUUUUAGAAUGAGUUAUUAUUCUGCUCGUUUGUAAUCUGAUUAUGCACAAAUCUAAUAAGCAAUUCUUAACAUCCAUAUGACUAUAAAAUGUUUGAGACUUGUGAUGUUUUUAUGUAGGUUAUUAAAAUAUGUUAUUUUAUUUCCGACACAGGAAUAUGUUAUUCUCUUUGAAACGGACGAAUAUCUAAUAUUAUGUAAUAUGAGUAGUAGUUCUUCUAUAAAAACAAGAGCACCACAAUCACUACACACUCUCAUCAUCUUCUAAAUUUUUUAAAAAAAUGUCUAACUACUUCCUCAUUUCCUUUCUCACUAUCUCUCUCUUCCUUGUGGUCACCGCCAUUGAGCCGGCGGAGCUGUUUGUCCCCGCCGGCUGCCCUUUGCCUGACCAUAACCUUAAUUACCGGCCAGUCAUCGGGAUUAUCAGUCAUCCCGGUCACGGAGACUCAGGUCGAAUAAAUAAUUCGACCGGAGUGUCCUACAUUGCUGCUUCGUAUGUGAAGUUAGUUGAAUCAGGGGGUGCUAGGGUCAUUCCACUUCUCUUUGAUGAUUCUCCUCAACUUCUCAAUCAAGUCAGCCACUUUAUUUGCCUCCUUUUUUUAAAUUUGAAUUCUUAUUUAAAAGCUUUUACAUAAAGUUCAUAAAAAGAUUUAUUUGUACCCAAUAUUUAUAGUACAACAUAGUAUAUCUUUUCAUGGAGUGAUUUUUUUUAAUUAUCUAGAAAAUAUGAAAUUAGCUAUGAAAUUUAUCAGUAAUUCCUAGCUAAUUUGUCGUGAAAUAGGUCCUAGCUAAUUGGAUUGUUCAUUUAAUCCAUCGCUAAUCCAUAUCUAAAUAGAAUUAGCAUGGAAUUUUUUGUUGUUUAGCUAUGAAAUUUUGUUAGUCGCUAAUUUCUUGUUUUCUUGUGUUAUCACAUUUAUUACUUACUCAUAACAAAAUACAUAUUGAUUUGGUGUAAUUGUGUAAACACAUAUGUAACUAAUGUAAGUAAGUUUUUUAACAAUCUUUAUUACUAACAUGGAUUUUAUUUGCAGAAACUUAAUCUAGUAAACGGAGUGAUCUUCCCAGGAGGCUGGGCUAAGAAAGGACACUAUUUUGAGACUAUCAAAGCAAUUUUUAGGGUAACUAUUUACGGACUUAAGUUAUAUACAUUAUCAAUAUAGGACGUUUUACACUAUCACUGUAAUUUAACAUGUUAUAAACAUAUACAAAUAAGUUAUCAUUUACUAUGUUAUCAACUAAAUGCUCAUAAUAUAUAAUAUUUGUCUGGUUUUAAUUUUUCUACAUAUAUUUUCAUUUGGUGAUACUUGCAGAAAGUUUUGGAGAAGAAUGAUGCCGGAGAACAUUUCCCUCUCCUUGCCAUCAACCAUGGAUUUGAGCUUUUGAUGAUGAUUGUAUCCAAGGUUUUUCAUGAAUACACAUACCGAUAUCAGAAAUUUUGUUAAGGAUAUUCCUGAUUUAAUAUAUAUGUAAAAAUACUGAUCACUGUUCCUUAUCAUGGUGUACAUUGGUCACAAUAUAAACUUUUCAAACAUAAUAAGUAACAAGUUUUGUUACAUCUUUUUAUUAGGGCUUUUUUCAAGUAUUGAGCAGUUUAUACAGAACGGGAGCCUUAGUGUAACUGGUAAAGUUAUUGACUUGCAAUUAGAAGGUCAAAUGCAGAGUAAGGUUGUGUAUAAUAGACCCUUGUCGUCCGAGCCCAGAGGCGGACCCACCUUUACUAGUGGGGUGCACGUGUACUUGUUAAUUUCGGAAAAAAAUCAUGUAUAUAUAUAUAUAUAUAUGUAUAUUUAUCUUGAGAAACUGUCAGAAACUAGGAUAUAAUUAACAAUGCAUCCAUGAAAAGCAUAGGAGUGUUCAUGUGCCUUGGUACAAGGCAGAGGAACUACUCGCAAGACUAGAGUUCAAAUCCAGCUAGGGUGCUAAAUUCAUUAGCUUAGAGAUCAUAUUUGGUGCACCCUAAGUUUUCAAAUCUUGAAUUAGCCUUUGUUCGAGCUUUCCCUGGACCUCUCCAUAACGGAAGCUUUAGUUCACCGGACUGCUCAGUAGGUCUAAUAUUUUGCUGUUUCCAAUUUAUUUUUUUCCUUUGUAACAGGACAACAACAUUCUUGAGAAAUUCAGUGUAUCAAAUCAGGCAACCAAACUCCAUUUUGUGGAAACUGUAAAUAUUGAAGAUACAGUAUUUGGGAGGUAUUAAAGAUCAUCACUAGUUAUUAAUCACCAAACUAAUUACAAGACUAAUAUUAAUGACCAAUUUGAUUAAUAACAAUGCAUUUUGAUUCUUGUUUAUUUGGCUAAUAUGUUUUAUGCAGGUUCCCACCUACAUUAAUAAAGAAGUUGAGUAAAGAAUGCCUUGUGCUACAAAGUCAUAAGGUGAGCCCUUGAAAAUUAUGUUUUCACAUCUCUAGCAAUGAAUUUUGUUUUGAUAAUUCUGGUGUUCGGGUUAGCUUGCACGCAUCUCAAUUAAUUGUACGAAAUACCUACUACCUCUCACCAGCACAGAUAACAGGAAAAUUAAAUAUUUUGAUUUUCUUUUUGUUCCUCUCAUGCAACAGUAUGGUUUAUCACCAGACAAAUUUCAAGCAAAUGAUGAUCUAUCUAGCUUUUUCAUUAUGUUGACUACUAGCACAGACACACGCAACAAGGUACAUAAGUAUAUUUUCUUCCCCUAAUUUUUUUAUACAUAUUGAAUACAAUGAUAUAUUCUCUACUGAGGGUUUAUCGAAAACAGUCUCUCUACAUUUGAGGUAGGGGUAAGUCUGUCUACACUCUACCCUCGUCAGAUCCCACUUUGUGAGAUUAUACUGGAUAUAUUAUUGUUACGAUGAGUGAUCUAAUUUUCUUAAUCAAUGAAUCAGGUCUAUGUCUCUACUGUUAAAGCAGAGAACUAUCCCAUAACUGCUUUACAGUGGCACCCAGAGGUACAAUGAUGAUUUGUUCUCUUAUUCUAUUAGUACAAGUAAAGUUGUUAAGAAGGGUAAUAUAAUAUCCUCACUUUAAGACGUUUCUCGUGAGGAUUCAUAUAGCCGACUCAAACAUAUUUAAUUUUCUUCUUGUUGAAUUCAUUUGGUUUAAUUGUUCUCAUUGCUGCAGAAAAGUGCUUUUGAAUGGGGAUUAUCAGCAAUUCCACAUUCUGAAGAUGCAGUUCAAGUGACUCAACUUGUUGCCAACUAUUUUGUCAGGUACAUCACCUUUCGUUCCGAUCCCAAAAUAAAGAAUGAUAAUGCUAAAAAAGGAAAAGAGUAUGAUACAGAGGCGGCUCAAUAGAAUGGGUGACCUAAAGCCAAAAUUCAGUAAGGAAACAAGUGAUAAUUGGAGUGUGAAACUCGCGAAAAACUCUAGUUUAACAAUUACAGAUUUUGUUAAUGUUUUCAUUUAUUCAACGAUUGUAUUUAUGGUUGAAAGCUUUCACUUAUAAUGUAUUAAUGCAGUGAAGCAAGAAAAUCUUCUAAUAAACCAGAAGCUCAAAAAGUACUCGACAAUCUCAUCUACAAUUACAAUCCCACUUAUAGUGGAAAGACUGGGUAAGUAAUUCUGCAUUUUUUACAUUUCUAGUAAGCAAUCACUUCAAUUUUUUUCCAGUAAUUUGAUGUAUUUAUGUUUUUUGUCUUGCAGGAAAGGUUACGAUGAGGUUUACGUUUUCAACAGUCAUGCUGUGAACUAAGUUUAGAUGCAGAGGAAAUGCAUAUGAUCUUACUAAGAGUAUUAGAAAAACCGUGAUGGUAUGAUUAGGUAAUUGAAGAGACAUUUCAAGUUGUAAUUGAAACUAUUCAUGCUUCAAGUAAUCUGCAGUUUCAUUUCGAAAAAAAACUAGUUUAUAUGUACUAAUAGAAUGAAAUGCACAUAACAAAAAGUUUGGAAUUGACAUCCAAUUUCUCACAAUUAUUCCAGUCUCAACUCCUAAUAUACCUAGCAAAUCAACAAUAACUUAUCGAUCAAGUGUAAUUCAACAAGUAAGAUCUGAAAAGAUUGAUGUAUACGCAGACCUUACCAUGUGAAUAUUUUCUAGCAAAUAUUGGGACGAUAAAUGAAAAAAAAAGAAAAAAAGAAGGGGUGAAUUGGUUCAUUCCAAGUGAUAAUUAUAGCUUCGCCACUUUUUUAAACUUGAAAAAAAAAGGUUAUGUGGUAGAGACAACAUAUUCACCAAAGUGACUUUCUAUUUUAUUCUUGUAAUGUUGUCAACCAAAUCUUAUCAUAUUUGUUGGCUCACUCAAAACGUACUUUGGUAGUUCAUAUUUGGUACCUGCAACAAAUCAUGUUUAAUUUCUAUUAGUAAAAUAACAUUUUUUAUGAAUAUAAUCUGCGUGAUCAAAUAAAUACGUUACUCUUGGAGACAUGACGAUUAGUGGCGGAGACAAAAUUCUUAUUAAGGUAUGUCAAAAUAUGAAAAAAUAGAUGCACAUAAAAAAUAAGAGGAGUCAACAUCUAGCAUAUAUAUAUACAAUAAUACUAACAUAUUCAGUGGAAUCGCAAAAGUAAGAAUGAGUAGGGUUAUGACUAAUUAAUGUGUAUGCAGACCUGACCUCUACCCGGGGAGAUGAGAGGUUGUUUCCGAUAGACUUUCAACUCAAGUAAAAACGGUUUGAAACAUAUAACAUAUGUAUGCAUAAAACUAAAAUUUUAACCUUACUAAAUAACGUAAUUUUAAGGCGAAAGAUAUGUUUUUUUUAACAAGUACCUGAUUCAUCGUAGCAGAUGGUCAUGUCAGUGUUUUGGGCAAUAAUUCCAGCACUGUCCACAAUUGCUUGAGCUAGUUCUAGAUCUGCUUCUGCAGCAGCCCGAAGCGCAUCCCAGAUUUCUGUUACAGAGUUAAUAAAUAAAUGUCUAUAAACUCGUGUCUUAUCUGCUUUCGUAUCAUGUUGAAUUGUAUGAUCAUCACGUAUAGUCAAUAAAAAAAAACUUUUAUAUUGGUGAGGUGUUAGGGGUGGGGGUGGGAGUGGAGGUUUGAGAUGAUUAUUGUAUAAUUUACCUAAAUCACGUAGUGUUAAGAGUUAAUUACAUUAUUUUUAUAUUUUUUUAACAAAUUAUUAGUUUUUUAAAAUUUAUGGAUUUCGGAUACAUAGCCGAGGGAUGUAUCCGAGAAGGGAGGGAUGUAUUCAAAAGGAGAGGAAUAUUGUUUCAGAGAGGGGAUACGAACCGGAUACAAAGGAGAGGGAUAUAUCUGAGAAGUGAGGGAUGUAUCGAGAGGGGAGAGAUGUAUCCGAGAGCGAUAGAGAUGUAUUAGCCAAAGGGAAGUAAUAUAUCUGAGAGAGGAUUUUUGAAAUUUUUUUAAAUUGUAGGGAAUUUUAAAGAUUAUGAUAAAAUAAGAUGUAUAUUUGGAUAAUUUUUCCAUGAUUAUAUUCGAUCCAAAGAUUUAUUUUGCAUCGAACCUAUUAUACUUAGUAUAUAAUUAUGGAUUCAAACCUAUUAUUUUGUUAUAAUUUUAUUGAAUUAUUACACAUAAAUUUAUCUUUCGUGUUGAAAGUUCUAGAUUCAGAUCCAAAGAUAUAUAUCGUUUAUUGAGGAUACAAUCAAUCAAACAACGUACGCGAAUAAAAGUGUGCUCUCUCGAACACAACUUAAUUAAUUUUUUUUAAUGAGAUGAUUAGAGAAUUAUUUGUACCUUUCUUGCCACCAUAGUGUGGAGCAGUGUCCCAAAACUCUUCCCUCAGUUGCAUCAAUUGACUUCUUGUUAUUGGUUGUGGAUGCUUCCAUGGUUUUGGCUUUCUUAUUAUCUUUUUCCCUGUCCCUAAAUUCAAAUUAUUUAAAAGAAAACUAUAAUUUCACAAACUAAUUAAGCUAAAAUUAACAAGUAAAUUAAAUCAAGAAAUUAAAAAAAAAAAAUACUAACUGUUGGGCUUGACAUGAGAUGAUCCACAAGAACCCAUAGUGUUUCUUUUUUAGCAUACAAAUUCCCUAUAGUUACACACAUAAACCAUAGUGGCAUAUAACUUUUCAAAAAUUGUUAAAGAGUUGAAAUAUUCCUAAAACUGGCAAAUGAGAUGUAAGAAAAUAAUGAGGUUGAAAUACUAUAUUACUAUAACUAUGGAUAAUAACAUUAAAGAGGAAAGUUAUAUCGGUAGUUGGCUUUGAAUUGCUUUCUCGUGAUUACACCGUUUUAUGCCACUAGAUAUUAAAUUUUCACCAUGGAAGAUAAUUAAAAAUGUGAUCAACAUAAAAAAUAAAAAAUAAAAGAUGGAACUUGUUAUCACUUUUAUAUCUCAUAUACAUUCGCUUUAAUUUUUAAAAGUUUUUGGUUUGAUGUAAAACGUCCCAUUUUUGUGCAUUUUAAAAAGAAAAUUAGUCUACAUGAUAGAUAUACUAUAGUUUAGUCGAAGAUUCUUUAAAAAUCAGUAUCUCUAUCUUCACAAGGUAGCCAAAUAGGGAUAAGUCUGUGUAUAUCCUAUCUUUCCAAGGCCUCACCUUGUGGGAUUACACUGAACAUAUUGUUAUUGAUAGAUAUUCUAUGGUAGAAAUAUUACUAGAAUUAUAUCAGGUUACCGUGCAGGAGUGAUAACUGGUAAGUAAUCAAUAAUUCUUGAUUAGAUGUCUCAAAUUCAAAGCUUUCAUUAAGGAGCGGUUUGCCCCAAAAUGGAACUGCAAAAUGGAACUUCUUGGCACUAACACGAAUUAGUCAGAUUCCAAAAUAGGUACCCAUACGAAACAGCAAAACAAAUAUUACUCCAUUAUUAUUCGAUAAUUUGUUUUAGUGAUUCACAAAUAGACAAAUAGACCUGUCAUCCAUCAUUGUAGAAGUGAUAAAAAUAUCAUACUGGACGUUGACUGGUAAGAGUUCAACUUUUCACUAUUUUUAGUAGUGAUUAUCACGUUAAAACUGUCCUUGCUUUUAAUUUUCAUUUCAGUCCAACUUUCAACAAUCUCACUUUUUGCUAGAAAAAAAAAGCUCUUUUUCCAGCAUCAUUUAUACAACUGCAAAAUACAUAAAAAUGAUGAGACAGAAUUCUAUUCAAUUACUGAGAGAUAAGUUCAUACAACAUACACAAAAGUCUUAUGUAAUAAUAAUACUAACACACUUUCUUGUGAGUCGAUCGUCAUUUCGCCUGCUGGCUUCAUUAAGGGGAUAGGAAUGAGGAUUCUCCACAAGUUAGGACCAAAACUGUUUUGAUCAUCAAGAAUAUCACGGCUGUCAUCUUUCAAACCUCAGAUAUCACAUGAAUGUCUCAUCCUUUUCCUAUUACUUUCACUCCCCGGCAAGAUCGUACGCCACUACUUUAAGAUUUUUUCUUUCCUCCAGAAAAGAGUGAAGGAAAAUCUGUGAAAUUACUCAAUACAGCACAUAUGACUUGACUGACUUGCUUCCAUUAAUAUUAGAGUUACAACUUACAUGACAAAAAGGUUUGACCUUCCCUGCUUAUAAAACUAAAGUCAUUAGUGAGGCUAGUAGAGUCAUGCGUACCGGGGGAAAGAGUCUCCAUACUUGUUCCUCAUGCUGUAAAGGGCAAACUUUGGAUCCUCAUAGUUUACUGCUUUCGUUUGAUCAGCAGGUUUUGUCUCGACUCCUGCUGCUCCAACACUUGAAUCAUGUCGCCGAUGCUUGGUUCUUUCCUUCUGGCUUUUAGACCUCACGUGCACGAAUGAAGGAACCUCACCUGAGGCUCCAUAGUAUUCUGCAUACUCAUGUCGUCUGGAAGACCUGUGCUUGGUUGACAAGUUAGGGUCUUUUGAACUACUGGAUCUAAUCUUGGUAGGCUUGCCCUCGGGUACUACUUUAUCACCGACAGCUGGGACAUGACUGAUCUCGGAAGCAGGUGCUGGAGCCCUCUGCUUUUGAACUAACGGAGGUUGAACUUCAUCUUCAGGCAUGAUCAGUGAAUCUUUCAAUGGAGUUAGUCCGGGUCUAAUGAAGCUCUUGUGUCUAAGCCGCAAAGGAACGGCAUAGCCAAAAAGGGAACCCAGACCCUCUAUUGCAAGCUUGGCCAAAUCCCAGAGUAGCUGUCCAAAUGAUGGCCAGCCUGCUUCUUGUUCGUCUUUCACAGUUUCAACAACAGGGGUUGGCUUCUCCUUCAAUAAAGAAGGUUCCUGUUGCUCCACUUCCACACGUACUUGCUGCAACUAUACACGAUUAGCGAAUAGCAUGAUACCAAGCACAUGCCUGUCUUUUCAUAUAAAGCAUGAAAAUUUUAACAAUAUGACUUUUGAAGCCAUAUAAAUCUUGUAUGCAAUUCCUCAAGGAUAAACAACUCAUUCAUAAGUGAAUGUCCUGACAAAUGGGGUACUAGAAGAAAUGUGUCGAACGAGGAACUCCUAUUUAUAUGCCAAGAUGUAGACUGAACUGACAUAGUAAUAUCUUUAGGCAAUCACUGAUAUUCCUCAAAUGUACAUCCUCCAUUUAAUUUAAAAAAUAAUAGAGAUUUAAGUUGAUCUUUGAGGGUGUUCCAGCGUUUCAUUGGUAGGCAAGAACAUGAAAAUCAAUAAGAACUGGACUGAGAGAUGGAUGCUAGAAAAAUAAUCACAACCUGUAAUGCAAGAAAGAAGACCAUGGAUCAGAAUCACCUACCGUCUUGGAGCCAAAUCCUUGCUGGAGCAUGCACGCAGCAUAUCCUAUUAUAAUAGCACCAAUAACCAUGAGAACAUCUGCCACAAGUAUAAGAUGAAGUUAGAGAGCACCAAAGCGAACCAUGCCAGGCUUAAGCAACCAGUGGUAAACAUCUAAAAUUACACAAACAGAACAACCUAAUAUAGUAAAUAUUCUGUAUAUCCAUUCAUUAAUUAGCAGUUCCGAAUUUGGGCGUGAGACUAGCUAUGGUUUCUCUUCUUUCUAAGUCAUUUUCACAUCUUCAUCUGAGAGUGAGUACUAGGUGUUAAUACGUUUUUACUUGGAUCUAGCAAGAUAUGCUUAUAGAGCAGGGGAAAAGUUGGACACAAACAAGUGCAAGUAUAGAUCAAAUUUUUUUUUGACAGCUGAGAAAUCCCGAGGGCCUUCCAAUCCUGAAUAUGGGUCUAAGUUCUCGGAUUUCAGUAACAAACUCAACUCAAUAUGUAACUUUAACAGAAUAAAAGAGCCCAAAAUUUGUCUUUACUCAAGAAGAAACGCAUUGCAUCAUCAUUGAUUUUCUCAUACCAAGUUGAACUUCAAUUCACUCUGCUAAAUUCUAAACAUUUAGCCUUGAAAGAAAUGCUAGCCAAAAUGAGAUUUCAUGUAGAUUUACAACUCCAAAUGUAAGAGUCGGAACACAUUUCGUUGCUGAAAGAGAAAAUGGUAAGCACACCACGUACCCAACUGAUUUCAAAGUCAGUACAUGGAUAUACCUAGUCAGCGAAUGAUAGAGCUAAAGCAUUUGUUCAUAUCACAUACCUAUCAAGAAUACUUAACACUUACUAGAUAGUAGAUACUAUUGAUGGUAAUUGAAGAUCAAAGAAGUCAGCUAGUCUUAAGGAUUCAAACCUAUAGUUGACACUGAGCUGUACUGGUAGUCACAAUCCUCCUGACUGAGAGAAAUUUGCCUAAGAGCAGCAUUACCUCGAUCAACAACGAGUAAUGAACAAGUUGGACGAACAUAUAUUACAUCGAAGUCGCUUGAAAACUGUGCAUCUUCACUUGGCCCAUCCCUGUAUCCUGGAACAUUAGACUUUCCUCCAGCAAUUGUUGUCACACCUGAAAAUAAGAAAGACGAAGACCUUUACUUGAUAGACAAGAUCUUUCAAUCAUUUUCCUUUUACUUCCAUACAGUAACUUCACACUACUUUUUUUCAUGAGACAUAAAAGUAACCCAAUGAAGAUUAAUUAGAAUGUUAUAUGUCUCAAAACAAAGGCGAGAUGUCAAGAAUAACAACCACCUGCUUCUCCAAUCUUCCUAAUAGCCAGAUUUGAGGUAUCAGCAACAUAAAUGUUUCCUUUGUCGUCCAUGGUAGCUCCUUUUGGAUUUUUGAAACGAGCAUCACUUGGCUUCCCGUCCACAUGGCCAGUGUGACCUUGAAAUGAACCAGCAACUAAUCUUGCUCUACUAUCUGCACAGUCAGCAAUCUUAAUCAGCAAAAGACACAUAAAUCAAAAGUAAACCACGGAUCUCCAUUCGUCCACAAGACAGACAUUCUCAACCAUUUUCCAACCCAAAAAGAAGCUUACAUUGAGAUAAUGGGGGAGUAAUUCGAACGAUUUUACUAUUAAUAGCAUCAACAGCAAAGAGUUCACCAUCCUCUGAGACGCGUAUCUUAUAUGGCACAACACCAAGUUCAUUUCCUUCUACAACAGUCUCAACUAAGUAGCCUUCUUCGAAAUGAAGAAAAUUUCCAUCUGUAACAACAUAACACACAGUCAAAUUUCCAAUGCUAGUAUUCAGUCACUUUUGCUCAAAUCCAAAUUUUCAAUGUCAAAUGUAAAAUCAAACAUAAGGAAACAAAAACAAAAAAGUUAACCUGAUUGAGGAGUUUUAGAGGUAGACCUAGACCAUUUGAGUAUAGAAUUCAAGUGCUUAAUCAAAGGCCCUGAGUUGCAAAACAAAACAAAAAAUCAGUCAAAUUCUCAAAAUCAAUUGAAAAAACCCGGAGAAAUCUUAAUAGCUCAGUUGAUUGACUUACUAAACUUUCACAUUUUUCGCGAGGAUUCGAUUCCCGUAAUCCCCUCACCCAUUAUCCCUUCCCCUUCCCCUACCCUCAAUUUUUAUGAAAAUUAAAAAUUAAAGCAUACCUAUAUCAUACAGAAAUCAUCUCAAUCAUCAUCAACCAAAAAAAAAAAAAAACAAAUCAAAUUAAAUCAGAAAAUUGGGUCUUACCAGCAGGAGCAGCAGCAUGAACCUGAAAUUGAAGAUGAGCAAUAAAAAAAGCUAUCAAACUGAAAAAUAAAAAGGAAUUUCUCAUAGCUAUUUCUCCCCAGUACAAAAAAAAUCCCAAAAAGAGCACAAAGAUCAGAAAAAACAGUGAAAUUUUUUUAAUUUUUUUUUUUUGGGAUCUCUACAAAUGCAGAAGAAAGUUAAGCUAAAUGCUGUAUGUUAUAGAUGAAAAAAAAAAUCACAUUGAUUCUGCUAAGCAAAAAAAAAUAAUAAUAAAAAAAAAGCGUAAGCUAAGUUCAGUACUGUUCAGUUGUAAGAUGUACUUUGAAGCUUUUGAAUAAUUUUUUGGGGGAAUUAUGACGAAUGAGGCUAAAUAUUUAUUUUAUUUUAUUUAUUUAUUUACUUUAAUUUAGUUUUAGUGGCUUUAAAAAAUUCCACUUUUUAUUUAUUUUAUUUUUUAAAGAAAGUGCAUUUAUCGAGAAUAAUGUAAAAGAAUCGGUGGUAAAGCUUAUUUUUUCUCUCAAAAAACAAAAAAAGUACUUUUGUUUAUGAUAAUAAUAUUGGAAAAUAUUUAUGCUACUUUCACAGCUAUACGUUGUAGAUACACGCGCCUGACUUUAGUGUUGAUGAGGCCCAAUACUAAUAUGGGCCUAUAAAUUGGCCUUUACAUUGGGCCACUUUGCUGUGAAGCUUUAGGCAAUUCAUUUAGAGGUUAAAGACAAGUAGAUUAUAAUGAUCAAAUACCAAAUGUUGAGAAUUUGCUUCUGAAGAAGGUAAUAGAACUAGUAAAUAAAACUUAUUGGGACCGACAUGGGUUAUGGUGCAGUAGUGAGACUGUUUCACCCUUAACUAAAGGUCAUAGGUUCGAGCCCUAGUUAUGGAGAAACUCAUGUGUUGGGAGCGUCACCCCUGAAUGGUCCUGCAGUGCGCGAUUCAGAUUUAGUCGAGACUCCAAUGCGGGCUCCGAACACCGGAUGAGAAAGCGAAAAAAUUUAUCUAUUAGAUGCUUUAUUCUGAAGUAAGGUUAUUCAAUUUUGUCGUAUCGAGAAUCGGGUCGAGAAACUCUUUAAGCCCUGAGAAUAUUUUCAUUUUGACUAGAAGUUGGAUCUGACUAGACUAAUAAUGUCACGCGUCUCGGCUUGUUCAAUGCUCCACGUGUUAUACUCAUAUUUCGAUCAAUACAUGACUUAUGAAACUAAUUGAAGUGUGCCUAAACCGACUCAGACAAGUUAUUUUAAGAAAAUGACGUUUCACCCAAGUAUAACUUGUUCGACACAUCAACGUGUUGGCAAGAUGGAUGGAUACGUCUGAUUACUUCCCGUUUGAUUAGGGCAUGCAAAUGUAGGUUUCUCGUCUUAUCUUUGCCCCACAGCCAUUACAUCUUUGAUCAAUUCCUUUGACAUAAAUCACUAAUUUCAAUUCCUCUUUGACAUAAACCACUAAUUUAAUGACCAUAAAAGAAUGUGAUGCAACAGAUGAAGUUGUUUCUUUCUUAACUAAUGAUUUUGAGUUUGAGCUCUGAGUAUGAAAACAUACCUUAGUAGGAAAUGCUUUCCUUCGAAUGGGGUCCUAUGCAACAAGAGUCGAAAGAGUCGGACUCCAAUAUUGAUACCGGACAUUUAUGAAAAACCCAAAAAAAACACUAAUUUAAUGACGAAAGAAUUACUCACCAACUAAUCAAAUCAUGACAUUUAUAUAGAGUGGACCGUAUUUGAUUAAUUUAACCACACGUAUUAUUUUGAAUCUAAAUCUUCAUUUCAAGAUGAGAGAAAACAUUGCCCUUGACCUUUGCUCAUCAAAUUAAUUAAGAUGGAGCAGAUUCAAAAUUCAAAAUUUAUUAGUAUGAAUUUAGAACUUAUAAUAUGAUAUGAAGUUUAUUAGUAUCUAUAUCUAUUUUAUACUAUCUUAAAAGCAUGAACUUCCAAACAUGAAUAUUGAAUUACUAUAAUACCCCCAAUUAAAAAUACUCAAUUUAUUUUAUUUAUUAAUUCAAUUAUUUGUAUUAUAUUAAAAAUAGAUACUUUUUCACAUUAAGGGUUGUGAUUUUUUCAAAGAAUUGUGACUUUUUUGAUGGAUUGUGAUAUUUUCGAUGAGUUGUGAGUUUUCGAAGGGUUGUAAUUUUUCCAAAGGGUUAUGCCUUUUCUCAAUGAGUUGUGACUUUCCAAAGGGUUGUGCCUUUUCCGAUGAUCAGUGACUUUUUCGAAAGGUUCUAACUUUUUUGAUAAGGCACAAUUAGCACCUAUUCCUACUACUAUUUGUUAGCUAUAAAUAGAGAAGUUUCCUCUCACUUUUAAACUACAUUUUUUUUAAUGUUUUAUACUCUUCUUCUUCUUCUUAAACAAUCUCAAGGGCUAUUUACAAUAGAUGAUUAUGUUCAAAAUUUAACGAAAUUCGAGGUAUCACAUAAGAAAGAGUUGGUGAACAAAUUGCAGCAAAUCAUUCAACAAUUCACAUUCGAAUUUUUUCUUACGAUUUUCAUGAGUUUACAGUGACGAAAAGUUGUGGGAAAGACAACAAUAAUAAACAAAUAUGAAAAAUGUCACAUGAUUUAGGUAAGAUAUUUCUUCUUUAUUUUUCAUUUUUUAUUCUCUUACCCUGACGAAGGAGUUUCUUUCUAAUUUUGCGAAAACAACGGGCAUCAACGUAGUCCAUUGAAUUAUUUGUUUUGAUGUUAAAUCCACUAUUUCAAAAAUAGAUUUUAACUUUUAUUUAUAAUAUGAUAAUAUAGGCAUGAUAAUUAUUAUUUUUUAAUAAAUAUGUAAGUAAAAAUGAACGGAUCAAGUAAAGUGUUGGUGUCAAGAAAUUUCAAUCAAAUGGAACACUAUAGUGAAUAUAGCAUGAACAUAAAUUUUCGUCUUCCUUCUUCAUUGGCUAUUUAUUGUUCCAUGUAAUUUUUCUUUUUUAUAUUUUUACUAAGUAUGAAAUUUUUUAAGUAUGAAUUUCCUGUUAUUUUGUGUUCAUUUUAAUUUGAGAAAAUGUUAUGUCACAAGAUACACUCCUUGCUAGCUAUAUAAUAAUAAAUAAGAAAAUAGUGAUUGAUCAUAAAGUAAUCUUAAAUCAAAUUAAAGAUUCUAUAAAUAAUACUGAAUUUUAUUCAUAUAUUAACUUUUAUUAUUGUAAAAGUUUAAUAUUUUGUAUCACGAUACAUCUUCUAUAACAUAGUAGAGUUUUUAUUAGACAACAACUAUAUGAUAUGUAUGCGGCAGAGAGAAGGGGAAGACUACAAUUAUACAAAGAUAAGGUAGAAACUUAAAGAAAUUAAAUUUUUUUUCACCAAAAAUGAUGUUGUUCAUAUAUUAUAAUUAAAUUAUGCUAUUGAAAUAUAUAUAUAACAAAGAAUUGAUCAAGCUAAAUAUUUGACAUACACUCAAACCUCUAUUUAACCAUCAUUCGUUAUAACAACAAAGUACUUUUUUUUUUGUUGUUGUAAAAUUACCUCUCUAUGAUAGUCUUACUCAAAAAUUAAUUGAGUAAUAUAUUUUUUUAAAGAUAGAUUGUGUAUAAAGAUAAAAUAUUGAAAUAUUUAUGGUAAUCGUGUCAUGCACAUACUAAAUUUCAAGUAUGAAUAUUUAAGAAAAGAAAUGUACUUAAAUGGUGUUGGUUAGAUUUGCUUAAAAAAUUGAGUGAAGUAAAAAUACUACUAAAGAAAUGUCACUUUCUCUCCACAUUUAAACUUUGAUUGUAUUUUAAAAUGUUUCAAUGAUAUCUGGUCGUUUUGAUCUCAAAAUACAAGUAAGUCUAUGAAAAAUUGUAUUAAUUAUUUAAAAACACUUGUCCUAUGUUCUUUCAAUUAUAAUUAUUUACUAAAAAGUUUUAAUUUAGUAAUAUUAAUUCAAUUUUACAGCAUUAUAUAUGUGUGUGUGUUUGUUUCAUAAAUUUCAAAAUAUAUAUAAAAUUCACAUUAAAAUUAUUAAGUUCUGCUAAAUUCGUACAUCUCAUACUUCCUCCACUAGGCUUUCGACCACAUUGCCAAAAUUAGUUGAACAUUGUAUGCCUCUCGUAGAAAGAAUGAAGAUUGAAUAUAAAAUUUUGUAAAAGUGCAAUUGAUAUAGUGUCAAAUUGGCAAUGCUUAUAAUAUAGUUAACUUUAUUAAUUGGUUAAACAAUCCAUUCCAAGAGUUGCUUCAAGUAAUCAUAUAUCUUUGCUAAUAAUUAAUUUAACUUUUCAGACACUUCAAACAACAAAAUACAUUAUUGUGGUGUUUAUUGAUCAUAACCAAUGUCCUCAUUGAAUGUUACAACACCUGCGAAACCUUAUUAUAACUAAUUAAUUAUUAAUUAACCCUUGCAAGUUGCAAUUAGCAAGUGUACAAUCCAUUUCGUGACAAAUUAUGAGAAGAGGAUAUCACUUAAUUUAAUCAAUGAAAGGAAUAAUUAAGGAUUAAGAAUUAAUUAGAUGUCUGACUUAUGCCUUUCCCUUUUUAUUUAAAUAAGAAGAAACAACCCAAAAUAACUUACUGGUUGUUUUUAUUAAUUCAAGAGAAUCCAAAAUAAAGAUGGAACGUGACAUAAUUAAUCUAGUCUCUUUAGAUAAAAAAGAGACGAACAUUAUUGACAAAAUUGUCAUAUUUAAAGUUACUCAUCAGUUUAUUUUUAUUUGUCUAUACAUUUUUAUCGAAUUCUCAUAAAAAAAUCUCACGUUCGGGGAGGUAAAGUGUUUCUUAACAAAAGCAACUUCGUACCUAGAGGUUGAACUCGAGACCUCUGGUUAAGGAUGAAGAAGUACUUACCACUCCACUAACCCUUGUUGGUAAGACCUAAUGCUAAUUAACGUCAAUUAAUAUGAGUAUUAUGAUAAAAUUCUCAUAUUAAUCAUUAUUUUUAAAGAGACGUGCAAAGAUCAAAGCGAGCAGAUCGUAGGAGUUAUAUAAUAAAAAACCACAACGAUUUUUUGUGGAAUAUUAGAAAUUUCUCUACUUUUAACCAAAAAUCUUAAAUCUAUCUUUGAAAAAUAGAAUUAUUUUUAGUGUUUUCCUCUGGCUCUUAAGAAGCCUUACGUAACACGAAUUCAACCUAUUUGAGUCAAGUGAUACUGAAUAUCAAAUAAUUUAUUAAAUAUUUAUAAGAUAGAAGAACAAAUAAUCAAAUAAUAAUUCAUGAUUGUUUGGCUAUUGACGGGAAAUAGUUUCAUUUUUGGAAGGUAAAACAAUCUAUUACCAGUAAGUAAUAAAAUAAUUGUUUAAUUCUGAUUUAUGAAUAGGAUAGGCUGAAGCAAGAAGCACACGUAAGCAACCUGGCUUUUAGCUAUUGGUUAUUAUUGUAUAUUUUAAAGUAACUUUAGAAUAUCUCUUGAAAUAGUUUGUGAACAAAAAGUGAAAUUCCAUAUUAUUAUAUAUAUAUAUAAAAGUAUAAAAAAAUGGACAAGAAAUAAACGCUUAAUUUUAAAAAGAAACCGAUCACAGUGAAAGUAAGAUUGAUUUCAUGAUUUCAUGAUUUCAUCGAUUAAAUGAAAACAAUUAGGUCGAAUAAGUCCUUCUAGGCUGCUUAUGAAUCUUCGUGUACUGUUUUAUUCAAUAUUUGUUCGAUUACUUUUUUAUUUGCAAAUGCAAUAUAUACAUUAGGUUUGGUAUAUACAUUACUUUUUUAUUUGCAAAUCGACAAGUAUCUAAUUUUUUUCCAUGGGUAAAAUAAUAGAAAAAGACAUUACUCUCUUGAUUGGAAAAAAAUGACAUGUUAAGGAGGCAAAUUAAAUGGAGAAAAAAAUGAUAGAUAGCAACAGGUAAAAGUAGGACCAAUAUUUCGAAGUAAAUUACAGCAUCCAUAAAUGUUCAUAAUUGAUUGAUGACUUUACAAGAAAAAUGUCACCAUCAUCACCAAGUUAUGAAAACUACACAAGCUUAAAGAUUAGAUUUUCUUUGAAAAUUUCUUCACAAUAUUAAAUAAUCUUAAUUUUGUAGGUUUUUCUUGAACAAAAUGACAACGAAAAUGAGAAUUGUAUAAUAAAGAAUAUAUAAUUAAGUGACUACGACAAUAAAAUUAUAUUUUGAUACGACAAAAGCAACAGAUGACCAAUCAUUUGUUUUCGAAAGAAAUUGAAGAAUUUCUUAAGAAUCCAAAAAAAUAUUUAGAGAAAUGAAAGGUAUAUAUGUACAACAAAAGUAUCUCUCAUUGAUUAAAAAGAUUUCCCUUUUUAUUUCUUAAAGAAUAAUCAUUUAUUAUGUUAUAAAAGUCAGUAAAAGAAAAUUCAUUUGAGCAUGUGAGAAAUAAAAUUGAAAGCUAAAGAGAAAAAAUUGUCUUCCCUCCAUGCAUUGUCACUAUCAUCACAAGAUAUGAGAACUACACAAUGUUAAAGAUUAUAUUUUUCUUUGAAAAUUUCUUCACAACAUUAAAUAAUCUUAAACUCUAGGUUUUCUUGAACAAUAUGACAACGAAAACGAGGAUGGUAUAAUGGAGAAUAUAUUAAAGUGACUACGACAAUGAAAUUAAAUUAUAAUGUGACAAAAGCAAUAAAUAAAUUAAUUAUCUGUUCUCGAAAAAAUCAAAGCAUAAUCCAAAUAUUUUUUUUAAAGAAAUGGUAACGAAAGUGUCUCUCAUUGAUUAAAAAGAUCUUCCUUUUUAUUUAGUAACGACUCACCCUUUAUUGUGCUUGUAAAACCUAGUAGUAAUAAAUUAAUAAUAUCUUCGCCUAUAUGAUACAUGAAAUUGGAAGUAAAAAUAAUGCAUGCACAUAAAAUAUACUAGUUUGCGUCUUAUUGCCAUAUAUAAUGGUCAUCAAGUUAGAAUCAUCAUUAUUGUUGGAAUGUAACGCUCUAUUAUCUAUUCAUGCUAGUUUUAAAAAAGAACGUUAAAGCCUAACUUUAAGACAAAAUGAUUUUGUUAAAUCACUAAUAAGUUGAAUUUUCAUAAACUAAAAAUAGGUGUUUAGUUAGAUGUGAAAAAAAGAAAGGAAUAAAAUACAAGUGCAUAUUUUGUUUUAGAUUCUCAUCUUCUUUGGACAGUGUCAUUGCCUCAUUGGGAUUCGAUUUUAGCUUAAGACAACAUAAUUUUCUCUUACUCACUCCGUUCAUUUUUACUUAUUCACCGUACUAUUUUUAGAUAUUUACUAGUAAUAUUUAUUCAGUUUAUAAAAUACUCUCUCUGUCGUCUUUUUGUUAUGAUUUAAUUUUGUAGAGUCAAAUAAUAAAAAUUUUGAUUAACAUUUUAUAAUGUAUUUUUCCGUCAUAUUGAUAUGCAAAAAAAUAUAAUUUAUACUACUUUAGUAUAGUUUUUAAAUAUCUAAAUUUUUAGUUUAAAAUAUCGAAAUAAUGUAAUCUAAUUUAACUUUGAAAAUCAGUCAAAUUGACUUUCGAAAAACGCAACAUGACAACUAAAAGGGGACGGAGGGAGUAAUGAUUAAUAUAUCAUUUUAUAUUUAUUUUACCCUUACUAUUAAAUACUAUUCAAUUUUCAAUUUCUUAGAUUACUUAUAGUAUUUAAUAAGGGUGAUUUGGUAAAAUUACUCCUAUACCUUACUAUUUCUUAAUACAUGUAUUAAGAGCCCGUUUGAAUUGACUUAAAAAAAUAGUUUUUAAGUCAAAAAUAAAAAGUCAAAUUGAAAUGACUUUUAAGUCAAAAAAAUAAAAAGUAGAGGAAAACCUACUUUUGAUUUCUAACUUAUUUUAAGUCGUUUUUUACCUUGCCAAACACUUCGUAACUUAUUUUAAGUUUUUUUUAUAUUUGUCGAACACUUCCAGAAGUCAAAAACUGACUUAAAAGUAGGUUUGACCAACUUUUAAGCCAAUCCAAACCCCCUCUAAAUCUUCUCCAAUUAAGUUCUUCAGUUUGUAGUUUAUAAUUUGAUCAAUUUAUUCGUUUUGCUACACUUGUUGAAGAAACUAUAUAUAGACUUUCAAGGGAAUUCCAAUUAAUGCCUUGCUCUUUUUAGCAUCAAGUUGUCAAUUUAUAUUACAUGCCCCUUCUUGUACUACCAUUAAACAGUUUGUUAAUAAGAGCUGUGAGCUUGAAGUAAUAUUAAGUAUUUUUUUUAAAAAAAGAAGAAGAAGAUAGAAAUGAUGCAUGUAUUCUCCAAUACCCGCACGUUACAAUUGUAUAUUGUAAAACAAUUAUGAGAUACCAAAUAAUGACAAAAUUGACUAAUCUACUAUGUAUAUUAUAAAAUAUAUGAAAACAAAAUCCAUAAUAUAAUAAAAUAUAUGCACGCUUGUUCUUACCUUACAUAAAGUUAUAAUGGAAAACUAUUAUAACACAAAAAAAGUAUUUGAUUAUUUUUAAUUAUAAUUAUAAUUAAAAAAUUAUAAUUAUAAUUAAAUGAUAUUGUAUAAGUUAUUAUUUAGUUUUAACUUUUAUGAUUGAAUUAAUUGAUUUGAUUUAAAUACGAGUAAGUAUUUUCUUUAUUUUUAAUUGUCACGUUACAGUUUUUGGGACUCAAUUUAAUUAAUUUUUAAAGAUAAAAUUGAAUUUCAUUAAUUUACUAUUUUAAGCUAAAAAUUUAAAUACUCAAAAUUACAUAAUUUUCUCCAUAUUAAUAUAACAAAAAAAAAUACAGUACAUUUUAAAAUAUCAGUCUAAUUUCAUAUCAUUUUAAAUGUUUCAAAAACCUCCACCUUAUUGUCCUCCUCCUGAACAAAUACACCUGUGUGAAUAACGCGGUGCGUCAGUAGUCAAUAUCCAAUUACCAAAUCACCCUUUAUCCAGCUAAGCUCCUAUCCAUACAAACCCACGUAAAAUUACCCUCACACUUCGGACAAUUCCGUCAUUUAAUUCGUCCAUAAAUUGACCCAACCAAAAAAAUCUGAGUAUUUUAUUUAAAUUCCCAAUGCCUUACUAGUUGUCCAACACCCCCCCAUUUUCCAUGGUCCUUUUCGUCUUUUUCCUCUUACCCUCUUUCUCUCCACAAUUUCUCACUUAUUAACUCUCUACUAUUUCUUCUCCCUCGAGCUCCGAUUUUUUCUCUGUUCCCUAAAACCCCACUAAUUUUGCAAAUCCAUAAACAGUAAAAAGCACAAUCAUCAUCAAAUAGACGUUGAAGAUUCUCAAUCAUUACUCUUAUCGCUCAAUGCCAGCUUUCUACUGAUACUGAAAUCUUCAGAAGGUAACAUUUUUUUGAUUUUUUUCUUCAUAUAUGUGAUAUCAAUGAACAUUCGUUUUUUUUUUAAUUUUGAAUUUUUUUCCCGAUUUCUUGGUUCAUCGAUUUCGGUAUACAGAGAGAAAAGAGGUUGUUCAUGAGUGGUGUUUUUCUGCUUCAUUGAGAUUCGUACACGAAACCUGAAUUUUCUUCAUUUUUUUUAAUUUUUUGAAUUAUUGAUUUUGGUAUAUAGAGAGAAGAGUGGAUGAUUAUACUGUUUUUGUGCUUCAUUGAGAUUCGUGCACGAAAUCUGAUUUUUCUCAAGUUUUAUUGAUUUUUGUAUCGUUGAUUUUGGUUUACAGAGAGAAAGAGGUUGUUUAUGAAUGGAGGAUUAUGGUGUUUUUGUUGUGCUUCAUUGAGAUUCGGGCAGGAGGCGUGAAUAUUCUCCAGUUUUUUUUCUGAAGGUUUCUCCCAAAAAAGGUGAGUAGCUUUGAAUUUAUUUUUUUCUGUGAGAUUAAUGUAAUACAAAAAAUGAAUGGUGAUAUGAUUAAUUGAUUAGUGCUAGUGUAUAUAUUUUAUUCUGCACUCGCGUGUAGAGAAUCAGUAGUUAUUUGUGUGCCUUGUAAUGAGGGAGCACGUUUAGGUCUUAUUGUUGUGUUUGUUUCACUGUAUGCGACCUCACAGUAGCUUAUCCUGUGAUUCUCUCCACUAUUGUUUGUGAUCACGUGACUUGUUGCUGGGAUGUUUUAGCACCUGAAAGUGGUGUCACGUGACCUGCUGCUACUGUGGGUAAACAUUUUCUGGAAUAUUAGCUUUUGAAAGUUUUGUAUGUUGGAUUAUAUUGGGCACGAUUAUCGAGAUGGCAAAGCAAGUCCAACGGGCAUUUAUGUGCCUUUGGUUGGUGUGUGUAAUCAGAGUUCUGAAAGAUCAUCAGGGCCCAUGUGAUUUUUUGCAGAAUGCUGAGUGACGUGUGAUGAAAUUACUAUAACAAUGUUAUAGCAUCACAAUUUGUUUGUGUUAUUUUAACUUGACAUAUAGAGUUUACGAAAAUAAAAAAAACACUUUUUUUUUUAUUAUCGUGGUGUCCCAUCUUUCACCCAUCUCGAUUAAUUCAAUGGGGUACCUGCCACAUCUCACUUGUAACAGUCACCGGCUAACUUUAUCCACUAAAGCUUGGACAGAUGAAAAGAAUCGCCUAGUGUUUUUUGUCUCUGUUGAGUUUCAAAUCUUGAGAUUCGGGGUUCUCAACCACAUCAACCACUAGACCACACCCUUGGAUGCACAUAUACUUAAUAGUUUUGGUCUUAAACAUGCCACAAAAAUAUGCUUUUAUUGUUGUGCUCUUAAACGUGCCACACGAAAAAUGUUUCUUCUUUAUUACUGCUACGUGGGUCCGUAACUGUACCUGUUCAUGCGUGGUGACACGUCUAAAGUUGCAAAAGUUUGGAAGGAUAUUCAGUACUUUUUUUGAGAGUUAUUGGACUAUUAACUAAUGUAGUACAAGCAUUAUUGGCUCUGAGUUUUUUUACUUGGAUUGGUUUUGUGGUUGGUGUUGGUCAAAGAAUUUUAAAAUUGGAAAAUUAGUGUGUUGAUUUUACUUGGUGUGAAUGCUAUGAGCACAAAGUCUUGCGUGAAUCAUGGUCUAAAUGUGCCAUGGGGGUGGGGGAUGCGUGGGGUGAUCAUUAUCCCAUUCUUUUUGGUUCACAACUGUCUAAGAUGGCUUAUUUGAGUUAGAAAAUCCACUUGGUGUAGAUCCUUUCCCACUUAAGGCAAUCUCAUUCUCACGCGAAAUCUAAAAUCUCUGGUUAAGAAUGGAUUAUGGUUAAGAACAUGUCUAGAUAGGCUUGUAGUUUUUCUAAUGUAUGACAUUUUGGCUUAAGAUAAGUGCUUAAAACCACUUUCUCGUUUCACCUUAACGCUAACGAAAAUGUUUAAAAACUAUUUUAGCUUAAAAAUAUUUAAAUUAGUCCAUUCAAAAGAGCUCCUAAAGCUAUUAGGGUUCAGCCAAAUUUAGUAGCUUUAUUCCAAAACUCGGUAUUUUUAUCAAAAUUUCUACUAAAUAUUAACAUAAAGUAAAUUAAGAACCCAAGUACUAAUGCUUUUUCCAUUUUAAUUUGUUUGUCCUAAUUUGAUUUGACAUGCUGUCUAAGAAGUACUUGAUAUGGCGAUCCUAGAAUUUAGAACUCAUAAAUUCAAAUUUUGGUUUUGUUGGUUUGCAAUUCUUAUUUUUAUUUUUUCAUGUUCUCCAUCCCCAAGAUUUUAAAGGUCGGCAAUCUUUGCUGUCCCAUAAAGAUCUUUAACAUGUAGUAUCUGUUAAUGAGGUCGUUUUCAAAUGAUUCUGUCCAAAGAUUUACUUUUUAAGAGUAUUCAAGAGGGGCAGGGGGGGGGGACUGAAAAUUUAGCAAUAUAAGUAUUGGAGUACUAUUGCUUGGGGACUUAGGAGUAUGGGAUUUCAUCCCUAUGGCAAAACUGCAUUAAUUCAUUAGUUGGUAGCGUUUUUAUUCUAUGAUUUGUUGUCAUCUUGCACAUUGAUGUGGGAAAUUGGCGAAUAAAGGCUAUUGAGUGGGAAAUUUAUACUAUUCUUUAAGUUAGGCAGAGGCUGAUGAGUUUAUUAAUAGUUUUGGGUCAAAUCAUGCCGUUUCUACAUUAUUGAAUAGUAUAUUAAUAUUGCACUGCAGAAGUUCUUUAUGUUCUCAGCUAACCAUUUUUAUAUCCAUGUCUUCAAGUUGCUAUCUUGUAUCUUUUUGUUCUAGUAUUAUAUAAAAAAGCAUUCUUGAACUUGUAAUGUAGACGUGCCUUCAGUUUUUCUUCUAUCUUUCUGUUCACAUUUCUCUUUUUCUUCCAAUUAACUCUACUUUUUGAACUUGCAAAAGGGAGAUUGAGAGGCCACAGGGCAAUACUCAAGUAGAGAACAAAAAGAAAUUCCAAUUGCCUUUAACUAACCUCGAUUCAAGAGUUAAAGUGUGUUACUUUUUUUCUUUAGCUGUAACAUGCUAAUCAUUUGGUAGAUAGUCGUCGUUGCCAUCAUUUCAUUCCUUUUUCUCUCUUUAAAUGACACUGUUAUUGGCAUUAGCUGAAAUGAUUAUGUUGCUCCAACCUAAUAUGGUAUAAUAUCAACUUCACAACCUCAUAUUUGCUUCAGAUGGAUUCAGUUAAUCGGUCUGCUGUGACCCCGAGUAAGAGUAAAUUGGCUCGUACGUUUGCUAAGGUUUUGCACAUCCGAUCUCUAACAGGAGGAAACCAGAAGCCAAAAUUCAGUGAACAUGUUAAGGAUGAUGUCGUAAAGAAGGAUUUAGUGAAGAGUGAGUUACUCAAGAAAACACAGUUUAAGUCCUUCAAUGAUGAAGAUGAAAAGCAUCAGAAAGCAGCUGCAGAAGCUUUUCUUGCGAAGCUGUUUGCGAAUAUCUCAGCUGUUAAAGCGGCAUAUGCCCAAUUGCAGUUUGCUCAGUCUCCAUAUGACCCUGAUGGAAUUCAAUCUGCUGAUGACUUGGUGGUGUCCGAACUGAAGAACUUGUCUGAAUUGAAACAGUGCUUUGUAAAGAAGCAGUUCGAUGAGUAUUCCCCAGAGAAAACUCACCUUUUGGCCGAAAUUCAGGAACAGAAAAGUAUUUUGAAGACAUAUGAUAUCAUGGGAAAGAAGCUGGAUUCACAGCUCAAAUUCAAGGAAUCAGAACUUAUGUUUCUUCGAGAGAAACUAGUCGAGGCUAAUCAAGAAAACAAGCUGCUUGAGAAAAGAUUGAAUGCCAGCGGGCCUGUGUCUCCUUUGGACAAUCUUCACUUUUCAAGCUUGAACCCCAGCCAUUUUAUCAUGUUCCAUCGGCAGACAAUUAGGUCUAUUCGAAGCUUUGUUAGGUUGUUGAGCAAGGAGCUGGUAGAUGCUGGGUGCAAGUUAGAUGCUGCAGCCAGUUCCAUCGAACCCGGUAUAGAGUUCUCGAAAGCAAAUGACAUAUAUUACGCCUUUGAGUCAUUCGUUAGCCGAGAGAUGUUUGAUGGUUUCAAUUAUCCAACCUUUUCCAUCUCAACCGAGCCUCUGCCCGAACAAAAGAAGAGGCAAAAGUUGUUUUACGACAGAUUCACUGAGCUAAGAUCCAUGAAGCCUGCUGAUUACUUAGCCUGGAAACCCAAAUCAACAUUCUCAAUAUUCUGUCGUGCCAAGUACCUGAAACUAAUCCAUCCCAAGAUGGAAGACUCCAUUUUCGGCAACCUGGAUCAAAGAAACAUACUCAUUUCAGGUGAGUAUCCCGAGUCAACUUUCUUCUCCGCAUACAGCGAUAUGGCUAAGCGCAUCUGGUUACUACACUGUCUAGCUUUCUCCUUCGAUCCCAUAGCUUCAAUCUUCCAAUUGAGUAAAGGUACUCGAUUUUCCGACGUUUACAUGGAGAGUCUGAAUGAAGAAGCGUUCAUAUCAUGGGAUGGAUCACCAGAAACCGAACCCCGUGUUGGCUUCUCGGUGAUUCCCGGUUUCAAGAUAGGUAAAACUGUCAUUCAGUGUCAAGUUUACCUGUGUUGAACCCCCCAUAGAUGGUAAAUCCAAAAGCAGCAUCAGAUUCUUUCCUUUACAAAUGGACCCACAACACAACGCAUCAACGAUAACAUUGUUUUUUUAAUGUUGUGAAAUGGGAACAAAGAAACCAGAAUGAUGGAGGAAUUUAGAAGGGGGGCAUGGCAUGGCUGGCUGGCUUUUCAAUAAAGGGGAAAGCGCGUUGAUGAAUUUUUGUGUCUUGUGGAAACUUGGAAUAGUGUUUACCAAAACACUGUCUUUGUUUUUUUCUAUGUUUUGUUUGGUUGGAAAAUGUUUACUAUUACUAGUAGUAGUAGUACUAGUAAUGUUAUUUUAAAGUAGAAAAAAUCAUUCCUCCAAUUUUGUUAAUAUUAGGAGAGGAGUGGUGGAAGAAUCUUAGCUGUGUACAUUAUUUUAUUAAUAUGAUUCGGCUAAUAUUUUAUUGAUAAUAAUGUUUGUUUGUGUGUGUGCAUUUUGGAGUGUUGCUUCUACAUUUUGGUGGGUGAAAACCUUUUUAACCAAAGAAGGUUUUUUCAUAUCUAUUCCCAGAGUUUUGGUUUUGAGUCCUAGAGAUGGAGUUUUAUUGGGGUAAAAUAGUGUUUUGCAGGACUAGAAUUGAAAAUAGCCUUAAGUUGCUUGAAACCCGCACCACCUACCCGAGCAACAAUUGUGCUCACCGGGUAAACUUGAAAAAGAGGAAUUGAAUUCUAUGAGAUUAGCUCUCUUGUAAGAGCGGUUGGCAGUUAAUCGAUUGGUCUGACUUAACAAGUAUGGUUAAGGUUUGUGUAUACUAUAUUCUACUCAAACUCUAUUUUAUUAUUGUUGUUAUUGUAGUUUGAGCAACAAUUGUGCUCACCGGGUAAACUUGAAAAAGAGGAAUUGAAUUCUACGAGAUUAGCUCUCUUGUAAGAGCGGUUGGCAGUUAAUCGAUUGGUCUGACUCAACAAGUAUGGUUAAGGUUUGUGUAUACUAUAUUCUACUCAAACUCUAUUUUAUUAUUGUUGUUAUUGUAGUUUUAGUGUAAUGCAAAUAUCGAAUAUCGAGUAUGAGAAAAAAAAAACGACUUUUUGUGGGUUGAAGACGAAUAAAGGUUGAGGUCAUAGUUCACACCGUCCAUUUUCUUAGUCAAAAAGAGUGGACGAUUCCAUUCUAGUAUCAAAUUCAUCCUUUACUAGUUUUUGCUACGCCUUUUUUGGGACUUAUAUAGAUCUGAAUUUAAUUAUUAAUAUUCACAAAAUAGUUUAUUAGAAAAGUAUAUAUCUAAGGUUAUAAUUUGAGUGGUGAACUGAUCCUAUCAACUAAUGAUAGCAAAUGGGUGAGUUGAAUAAAAAGUAUUCAAUUAUUGGAUCUGGGUUAAAAAAAAGAAAGAAGGUAAUAUAGUGAAUAUUCUAACAAUUUUUUUGAUGUUUUUUGAGAGUGUUUUGUCGUGCUAGGUCACCGCAGCUCAAUAAGCAGGAAAUUUUUACCUAAAUUACAUCCAAAUCAUCUUAAGUUUAGUGUUCAACCUCUAAAUAUUAUUUUCACGCCUUAAAGUAAUUUGUUUUUCUAAAUUUUAAGAAUGAUCACUGAAUUUAUCAAAGCAUUAAUCAAUUUAUUUAUUCAAUAUUUUUUUUAAAAUGUGAUGCAAUAUAAGCAUACAUAAUGGAUAAACAAAAAAUAAUAGAGAAAUAUUUACGACUACAAAAUAACAAAAAUAUGGUCAUGUGCUAUAAACAAUAUUGGGCCGAAUGACAAGUCUUGAGGUUAUGUCACUUUUGUGUAUUAUUGAGUUAAGAGUCUGACUCUCCUCAUCUUCCCUUCAAAUCUCAUGUGACGUCUUCCCGUAAAUUCGAAUGAUGAAGACACCCUGUGUGUGUUUUGUGUGGAGAGAAAUAUUUUUCAUCCAAAAACAAGCUCUUUAAAAACAAGAAAAAUGACAUAUCGGAUAAAAAUAAAACUCAAAAUAUUUUCUUCGUUAGUUGUCAAACUAAAAAUAAAAUGAAAUAAUCCACUUAUUUUCUAUGGAAUUUUUUUUUCUUCAUAAGAAUAUCGUUUUUUAUUUUAUUGGGAUAAGGGUCUGAAAAAUACUUCAACUUUGGUCGAAUUUGCUGUUGUGAUACUAAAUUUUCAUGAGGACCUAUUAUCUCCCUAGACUAUUUAAUACCGAUUUUUUACCCCAUGAACUAUUUAAUAGUGUAUUUUAAAGGUAUAUAUGUGCCCACGUGGACACAUUACUAUUUAUAAUUUUACAUUAUUUUUUAUGUCCACGUGGGUAAAUAUAUAUGUUUAAAAUACGGUAUUAAAUAGUCUAGGGAGGUAAUAGGUCCUCAUGAAAGUUUAGUAUCGCAACAAUAAAUUCGACCAAACUUGAAAUAUUUUUCAGUCCCUUAUCCCUAUUUUAUUGUUGGAAAGUCUUAUUUGGUCGUCCCAAUUUUUAUAUCUAACUUUCUUCCAUGAUAAUGACACCAUGCAAGAGAUCCAAAGAUCUGUUCAAAGCCAAUAUCAAUAUUACAAUCUUCGUAUCAAUCUAUGUGACAUCAUUUAAUUACAAAUAGAUCUAAGUUAUGUGGUGAUAAAAAAUUCUCAUUAAAAGUAUAUACAACUAAAAUUUUGUUGUUAAAUUAUUUUUAAUUAUAACCCCUUUUUUGAUAAAAAAGGAAAGUAUGCCACGUGGCAUUUCAGAUUAUUCUUUUUAUUCAACCCUCGAAAGAAAUCAAUAAUCAUUCUUCAAUUUUUCUCUAACAAUCUUGAAGCAAUGAGAUAUAAUUUAACUAUGCCAAAACGAUAAUUGCCAGGUUAUAUGUAUACUACUACAUACAGCAUUCAGUUAAACAAUUGGAAUAUUUAGUCCAUGCACUGUAAAAUAGAUAUAAUAACAUAUAGAUAAAGAAAUCUCAUUAAUUUUAUUAAUGAGUAUAUAAAUCCCUUAAAAGACUCAAAUAAUAUAUUGUACUUAGUUAUAUUGCAUCCCACUACAAAUCAGAAUUCACCUAAUCCCAUUCCAGGACCAGGUGGGCUAGAAUGGCCGGCUCCAGGACUAGGGCCAGGAUUCAAGUUGCCAUAAACAUGGCCCAUUCCAGGACCAGGUGGGACAGAAUGACCGGCUCCAGGACUAAGGCCAGGAUUCAAGUUGCCAUAAACAUGGCCCAUUCCAGGACCAGGUGGGACAGAAUGACCGGCUCCAGGACUAAGGCCAGGAUUCAAGUUGCCAUAAACAUGGCCCAUUCCAGGACCAGGUGGGACAGAAUGACCGGCUCCAGGACUAAGGCCAGGAUUCAAGUUGCCAUAAACAUGGCCCAUUCCAGGACCAGGUGGGACAGAAUGACUAAAAGCGUGGCCCAUUCCAGAACCAAGUGGGCCAGAAUGGCCUGCUCGAGGACUAGGGCCAGGAUUCAACUUGCCAAAAGCGUGGCCCAUUCCAGGACCAGGUGGGCCAGAAUGGCCGGCUCCAGGAAUAGGUCCAGGAUUCAACUUGCCAUAAGCGUGGCCUAUUCCAGGACCAGGUGGGCCAGAAUGGCCGGCUCCAGGACUAGGGCCAGGAUUCAAGUUGCCAUAAACAUGACCCAUUCCAGGGCCAGGUGGGUUAGCAUGGCCGGCUCCAGGACUAGGGCCAGGAUUUAAGUUGCCAUAAAUGUGGCCGAUUCCAGGACCAGGUGGGCCAGAAUGGCCGGCUCCAGGACUAGGACUAGGAUUCAAGUUACCAUAAACGUGGCCCAUUCCAGGACCAGGUGGGCCAGAAUGGCCGGCUCCAGGACUAGGGCCAGGAUUCAACUUGCCAAAAGUGUGGCCCAUUCCAGGACCAGGUGGGCCAGAAUGGCCGGCUCCAGGACUAGGGCCAGGAUUCAAGUUGCCAUAAACAUGACCCAUUCCAGGGCCAGGUGGGUUAGCAUGGCCGGCUCCAGGACUAGGGCCAGGAUUCAAGUUGCCAUAAACAUGACCUUCUUUGCAUGGGGCCGAAGAAGCCAGGUUAGUGACCUUCUUCUUAUCCAUGUUGUUCAAUUGUCUUCUUGCUUCAAAACAUGGAGCAACACAAACUAACAUAGUAACCAAAGCAAUCAAAAGCAUAAAUAUUGCAAAACGAGCCAUCACUGAUCGGAGAGUGAUGUCUAGUUAAAUAUUGGGAGCAAAAAGGAGAAAAUAAGAAGUAAUGUAAGUUUAUUAAGAAAAGACAUGUUAUUUAUAGACAAUAAAAGACAAAACGUUUAAGAAAUCUAGACUAUAGUUCAUUAAUUAGUAAUAAUUGAAAUUUUAGGAAAAAGAAGAGUUUAGCUUUGGGUAAUCGUGUAGGUACAAAUGAACUAAACUAGAGAGUACUAAGUCGCCGGUGUUUGCUGUUCCCAUUGCUUAUUGGACCUCUUGCUCUACGUACAAUAUUAUGGUUGUAUGGAUAGUGAAUAUAUGUUUACUUCAUUUAAUUUUAUUUAUUAGUGGGGUUCAUGUUUACCCGUUGUAAAAAAUAAUUUAUUUUGUCAUAUUAGAUAGUUUUUAAUAAUAAAUUUAGUUGAGUGAUUUUUUAAUACAAAACAUAAAUCGAAACACCCUUGAAUUAUAUGAAAAUUGAAGUUGUAGCGAAAGUAAUUAAUCUCCACUCCAAACCAAGCAAUUAAAAUUAUCUUAUAAAUCACAUGCAAAAUUACAUUAAAUAUUCAAUUAAGAAACACAUGGAAAAUACAAAUUCACUGUAUAUGAUAUACAUACAUGUUCCUUUAAUGAUCAAUGUGCAUUUUCUAAACCCUCUUCGUUUUUCUCUAAAUUUAAUUUUUAGUUUUUCGAGAUUCAAAAUUUAUAUUAGAAUUAAAUUAAAUUAAUUUGAAUUUAUGUUGUGUAAAUUUGUUCAAGAGAAAAUAUUAUUUAAUAGGAUUUUUCCGUUGUUGUCACGAUUUGAAUGUGAAAUCUCUAAUAAAUAAUAUUUUCUUUAGAGAACUUUUACCUCACUGACAUAAUUUUGUUGGAAUUUUUCAGAUUCAAGAACAAAGUGAAUGAACAUAUAUUCAUCAUAAUCCACACAACCAUAAAAAAACGUAGUUGGCUAGAUAAAUUUAUGUCAUAUAAACCAAAAUGUUUUUAAUCCUACGGAUUUAAACAUGUCAUGUGAUGAAAGUAAAAUAUUGUAAAAACUUUAAUGUAAAACAUAAGAUUGAAAAGACAUUUAUUUUCUUAAAUUUCAUGGCAAGUCAUCCAAGUGAAUUGAACAUAAUCAAUUUUUUUACAGACAAACUUAAUUAGUUAAACAAAUAACCUUAUGAUAUUACAAUAAAAAAAUAUACACUAAUACUCUAAUCAAAUUCCAAAAAAAAUAAAAUGAGUGUAGAACUUUUAUUUUGUUUCGUUUUUAAUGCUUUUUCUAUGAAAAUCUGUGAAAUCCUUAAAUUUUUGGAAUAUAAUACAUACUUAACUUUUUUCGCUGGAAAUGAUAAUUGUAGAGCAGGAAAUUCCAUAUGAUACUCUUAUGGGAUUUAUGUUUACGUGGUAUAAAAAUAAUUUAUUUUGCCAUGUUAGUUUUUUUUUAAUAACAAAUUUAGUUUGUUGAUAUAAAUAUAUAAGUUGAGUGAUUUUAUUGAUUUAAAACAAAAUUUAGUGACAUCGCUAGAUAAAUUCUCAAAAUUGAAUAACCUUUUGAAAUAUUAACUCGAGAUUUACUCCACCAAUCUUGAAGCACUUGAUAUAAAUAAAUAAGUCAAAUCAAUGAUUCAUGACAUGUUAUAUGUAUACUAUUCCUCCAUUCACUUUUAAUUGUCAUAUUACGUUUUUUGAAAGUCAAUUUAAUUAAUUUUUAAAGUUAAUUUUAAUAACAUUAAUUUGAUAUUUUAAACCAAAAAUUUUGAUAUUAAAAAACUAUUGCCACAACAAAUUCAAUUAUUAACGACAAAUGACUUCGUUACUUAUAAAUCAUAUUUUGUCACUAAAGAUCUUGUGUGACGAAAAAAAAUUCGUCAUUCACUCGUCACUAAAAGUAUACUAAGACGAUUUAGUAGUUCGUCGCUAAAAAAACUAUAUUAACUACAAAAGGAAAAAUCACCCUGAAAUGUAUAAACAUUUAUGACGAAUUUAUUUGUCAUAAAAAGUAAUAUUUUUUUGUAGUUAAUAGAAUGAUUUUGUCACUAAAAAAGUUAUUAACACCGAAUAAAGUAUAUCAUCGCUAAUUAUUUUGUUCAAUCAAUGACGACACCAAUUGUUUCUAAAGUUAUAUGUAUUUCGUGGUUAAACAAAUGUAGUUUCGUCACAAACAAAUGCUUUUAUUAAUUUUUUUUGGAUGACAAGGGAAACCCGUAGCUGCUACCCUUUGGGUGCGCACAGGGUAAAACUCUCGCUCCUAUGCAAUAACUCGCAAAUCACAUAGGAAAGGUAACCCACACUAGGCAUGCCCGAUGCAACGAGCUCGACCCAGAAGGCAAACCCCUUGCUUUCGUUGGCAAGGGAUUUCGAACUUGAGACCUCCAACAUGAAGUAUAACAAUAAAUAGAAGAGUGUAAUUGAUAUAUUUAUUUAUUGUACAAUAUUAAGAAAGUAGAAAAAAUUGAGGAAAAAAGAUAAAUAAAAAUCCUUGGCCAAAGAGAGGUGCAACUUCGUUUUUCUAACAUAUAGCUUAUAAUAUUUGGAUUUUUAAGCACAACAAUACUAAUAGCUAUGAAAAAUGUACCAUAUAUAAUAUAUCUUUCAAUCAUAGAAAAAUUUUAGAAUAUUGAAAUCAAAACAAUACAUUGCAAUAAUGAAAUUUUAAAUUAUUGAAAACAUUCAAAAUUUAUAUUAAUAGGACCAUCUCUCUUAAUUAAUCUUUAAUUUCGACAUAAUUAAGUCUCUUUCUUCAUUUUGAUGAACUUGUACUAAAUUGAUGUGAACAUCUCUUUAUAAUGACCUCUUCGAGAACUUGGGGUUGACCUCAAUGGAGGAUUACCACCAUGGCCCAUUCCAGGACUAUGAAACGAUUUAAACUUGCGAUCAACAUUGCUAGUUUCAAGACUAGGAAUUGUUAUAACAUGAUGUUUUUUCAAUUGUUUUCUUGCUUCAAAACAUGGUGCAAGACAAACUAACAUGAAAACCAAAGCAACCAAAAACAUUGUUGCAAAACGAGCCAUUGAUAAUUGUUAAAAUAUAGAAGUAAUGGAAUGAAGAGAAGUGUGAGUUCAUUAAGAAAAAAAGAAGUUAUUUAUAGGCAACAAAUUAUAGAUGAAAAUGUUUAAGGGAUGUAUCUAGAAGUGUAAUGCUCAAAUUAGGUCAAUAGUAAUAAAUGAAAUUGUAAGAAAAUAGAAGUGUCUUGGAAAGUGUGUAGGUACACAUGAAAACGUCAAUUUGUCUUGGAAAUUGCUUGUUUUACUACUACCUCCAUUUUAAAUUAAUUGAAUUGUUGAGACAUUUUUUAUUUUUCAAAUUAACUUAAUUAUUUAAUUUUCUAGAUUACUUUUAGAACGUUCUUCUAAUUUUACCCUUCAUUAGUUAGUAUUGGAAUUAGUUAUUUAUUAAUAUUUAAUUAUUUUAAUCAUAAAAUUAACAAUAAUUAAUAAGGAUAAAAAUAAAAAGCUAUGUCUAAUUUAUCUCUUAAUCUUCUUUUCUUAAAAGAUGCGAAACACCUCAACAAUUCAAUUAAUUUGAAAUGGAGGAAGUAUUAAAGUAGAGAAUUAGGUCGCGCUGUUAUGAAAAAUAUAUAUAUUAAAAAAAUUAAAUAUUAUACGAGAAAGAAAAAAUCAUUUAUAGAAAUAAGAAAAUGCAAAAAUCACAAUACAAAUAUUUUUAUAGAAUUAGAGCUUAUGUGAAUUACAUUUUUAAUAUAAAAUAUUUUUCAAAAUUAAAAGGCUAAUUUAUUAAGAAUUUUUUUAUAUAUAUUUUAAUGUAAAUAUAUAAUUCGAAUAAACAUAUUUAAGGACUUGCUUUUUUUUUUUAUUAAAUUAUAAAUGUAUUGUCUGAUGAAUCUUCUUUCAAUAAACAAAAAGUGCUGAAACUAAAAAUAGGAGGAAAAAGAUAUAAGUAUUUAUAUUUCAUUUCUUUUUUGAAAUUUAAUUCUUCCAUUGUCUUUGUUUUUUCUCUUAAUUUUCAUCAUCGUCUAAAUAAAUAUUUUUCCUCUUAGUUUUCAUCAUCAUCUAAAUAAAUCUUUAUUGCUAAUUUUCUUGUAUAUCUUAUAUUAUUCUUUUGGUAACUCUUUAAAAGUAGAUGAAAUGAACAAAUUAUAAGAAAAUGUGAAUGGUUCUUCACCAUACGAAACACUUAAGAACUGCGUAUUUCAAUAUUUAAUAUGCAUUUCUUUUAGGAAAAAUUGUAUAAAAUAGCAAACUAUUAAUUCAAAUUAAAUGUUAUAACCACAAUUUGAUUUAAUUGUAACCUGUAGCAAACAGUUGUCAUUCGCCUCUCUCCCAAAUUUCUCGCUUGUCACUCUCAUUUCUCGCUCGCCAGUCUCUCCCUCGCCUCUCUCACUUUAUACAAACACAAAUGUAUAAAAUUCGUUUGUAUUUGUAUAAAGUGAGAGAAAACUGUAUAUACAAAUACAUAUAUUUUCGUCCUAUACACUUAUAAUUAUACAAAUACAGAUUUUCCCCUGCCCAGUUCUCUUUUGCCUUUCUCUCUUUCUCGUUUUAUAUAGACACAGAUUAUACAAAUUACAAUGCAUAAUAUGUGUUGUAUAAAGCGAGAGAGAGAAAUUUGAUAGACAAAUGUUUUAUUUCGAUUCAAUUGUAUACAACUUCAAAUUUUAUGCAGAUAUACAAACACAUAAAAUUGAAUUGAGGGGCUGUCAACGAUUUAUACAAAUGAGAGGCUACCAACGAUUUAUACAAAUGAGAGGCUGACAUCGAUUUAUACGUCUGAUGCUCCAUAACAAUCAUAAAAUUUGCUAUGAAGCGCAAUUAUACAAACUAUAACUAUAACAUACAAAUAUGAUUUUUAUGUUUGUUAAAAUCAAAAAAUUACUCUUUCUUUUAAGCCAUUAGCAGUAAUAUUCAAACGUAUGCUAGCUUAGUUAGAUGUGUUAUGUCAAAGUUAAAAAUAACUAAUUUGAGCCUAAAUGAAAAUGUAAUUUACUACAAUAAAUUUUUUUUAUAAGAACCUGAAUUCAAAAAAUAUAUAUCUCGAACAUAUGAAAAAAUAAGUAAAAAGAGAAAAAUAACAACACAUUUUUGUAAAGACCUUAGUCACAAAAAGAAAGAUGAAAAAAAAUUACAUAAUCAAUGCACAUAUUUUUGAAUUUUUAUCUGGCUCCCAUUUUAUCCACAUCCAAGGGUCUUUUCAUGGAGUCAGAUUAAAGUAUAAAUCUUAUACUACAACAAUAAUAUAGAAUAUCACUAUUUUAAAUAUGAAUAAAAAUAAUAAUCUUGAGUAGAGAUAUUAUGAAACAAAAAAUAUGAAUUUAUAUAGACAAAAUUUAAGAACUAUCAUAAGGUAUCUUAAAUUUUGAAAUUAAAUAGUUGGGGGUUGUGAAUAUGAAAAUUUAAAAAAAAUGGUUAAUAAUAUUAAUUAAAGUUGAAGUUCAAUAGGUAUAGUAAUGGAGGUAAAAAUUCUAAAAUAAAUAAAAGAAGGAAAAAAUAAAAUAAUGAAGACAAAAAAAAAACUAAUGAACUAUUCAAUGUUUGUUGGGUGUUUAAUUUUUAUUAGGAAAGCGAGUAAAUCAAUUUCAACUUUCUUGUAUUACUCCAUUGUGCUUAACAAAAUUGAAAGAGGAAAAAAAAUACAAAAAAAAGAAGAAGAGACAAAUAUCUUGAAAGGUUGAAGUAGUAAAUAUUGAGACUUUUAAUUUUUUAUAAUACAGAAUAAUAAUGAGUGCAAAUGUUUUUUGAGACAUUUAAGUAUAACAAUAAAUAGAAGAGUACAAUUUAUUUAUUGUACAAUAAUAAGUAAGUAGAAAAAUAUGAAAAAUUAUCAAAAAAAUUGAGGAAAAAGAUAAAUAGAAUCCUUGGUCAAAGAGAGGUGCAACUUAGUUUUUCUAACAUAUAGUGUAACGACCUGAUUUCCGUCGUUAUGGAAAAGCCAAAUGGAGAAAAAAUUGGGGUUAGAAAACUUUUUCGUUGUAAUUGGAUUUUCCCAACCUAAUCCAGAUUUGGACGAAAUCGGAGUCAUUCAGGUGUAGGGAAAUCUGGUAACAAUCGGGUGAAUCAUUUAUGAUUUUGAUUACAUGAGUUGUUAGAUAACUCGUUAAGGAAUCCGUACGACUUUACGGAAUUGAAUUCGGGCGAGUAGAACUCCCGGAAUCGAUCUUAGUGUAAAGGGUAUUUACUGAGUGUCGUGGGUUAGAGGUGUGUUGUGAAAUAAGAAUUUUUGAAUUCUUGAAAUAACUCUUUGUCUCGAGAAUGUCGCUUUGGCGGGGCCGUUGUGGUGGGGUGGUGGUCGUUGUGGCGGGUCCGACACGAAUUAAAGUCGUUAAUAAACCCCUAAACGACCUCAUUAUGCACUUUUCCACUUUUAGAGCUAAAGAACGACCUCCAGACGACUCCUACUCAUUUUUCACCAUUCUUGAGGCUAAAGGUAAGUUUUUAACUCCCCAAAUCCAUAUUUUGAUCCGUAGAACGUAAUCUAGUAGGUCAUUAUCGAUGGGGGAGGGUUUUGAUCUAGAAUUUAUGGUGGAAAAAGCCCUAAAUUGGGCAGUAUAAUCUUGGGUUUGGUCUAGGGUUAUUGGGUUUGUUAUAAUCCGGAUAAUUAGACCUUUGAUUCAUGAUCCUUGCAUAUAAAUUGUUGUUUGUAGACCUAGAACAAGAGGAAAGAAUCCGGAAAGGGAAGAUUCAAGUGCCUUAGGGGAUUCAAGCUUGGUUUCGAGGUAGGUGAUGGUUGUUAUUCUAUUAUUGUGUGAUGUAUGUUCUCGUUUCAUUAUGAUACAUGUUUGUAUAUGUUGUAUUAUUGAUCACACUUGUUGUAAAUGAGGAUAAUUGAAUAAUUGUAUGCCAUGAAUCACCUCUUGUUGUAUGAUUGUGAGAAUAUACAUUGUGAUUGUGGUUUGUUGAAUGGGCGGGUGUCACGAUCCGAUACACUAUUGGAUUGCCACGUUUCGACAUACAUAUGGGAUCUGCUGCCACGUUUCGGCAUAACUAACUUGGAUCGGAUUGCCACGUUUCGGCACGCUAACUGUUUGGGUUUAGGUUCCAUGAGAGGACCAUUAAAUUGGGUUCCGUGAGAGGACCCUUGAAUUGUGUUGUGUAUCUACUUUUGAUGAGUUCGUUCAUAUCUAAUGAUGAUUGAUAUUGGAAGACGGUAUGUUGCUCUAAAUUGAUAUAACUGUGAUAUGUGAGAAUCGUGAAAUUGUUCAUUGUUCGUAUAUGUUGAUGAUAUUGUAUAUGUUCGAUAUGUGCAUGUGAUUAUAUUGUUGUAUUGACUAAUGUAUGUUACACUUAGUGGGAUAGCCGUGUGAUCCUACCAGUACACGGUGGUUGUGUACUGAUACUGCACUUGCCAUUUCUUUGUUGAGUACUUGACAUCCUCAGGUGGCUAUUGAUAGACCUCAGCUAGGUGACUAUGAACGUGACCGGAUUAAAGGGUGAUCCAGUUCUUUCUGGCUGCCAUGGAUCUUCCUUGUUUAAGUCAACUCUUUUCGGACUCAGACUUUUGUUUAAGGUGUUGUUUAGUUUCGGGGUAGUACCUCUUGUUCUUCGACUUGUCGUUAGUAGUGUUUUGGUACGUUGACUUUCAGGUUCUAGGGGUUAUUCUUCCGCAUUUGUUUAGUUAUUGUUGAACUUAUGUUAGAGUUUAUGGAAACUCUAUUAUCUUUCCUUAGUAAUUGACUUAUAUGCCUUAGUUUUUAGAUUAUUUUCUUGGUUUGGGUUGUAGUAGUGGUUCUCCCACCGGAGUGUUAGUGUGGAUGUCAAUCACAACGGUCUGGGUUGUGACAUAUAACUUAUAAUAUAUGGAUUUUUAAGCACAACAAUAUCUAAUAGCUAUGAGAAAUGUACCAUAGAUAAUAUAUCCUUCAACCAGAGCAAAAUUUUAGAAUAUUGAAAUCAAACGAUACAUUGCAUUAUUGAAUUUUUAAAAUAUGGGAAACAUAAAAACUUUAAACUGAUAUGACCAUCUCUCUUGAUGAAUCUUUAAUUUCGACAAAAUUAAGUUUACUUCUUCAUUUUAAUGAACUUGUACUAAACUGAUGUGAACAUCUCUUGAUUAUGACCUCUUUCAGAACUCGGGGAUGACCUCAAAGGAGGAUUACCACCAUGGCCCAUUCCAGGACUAUGAAACGAUUUAAACUUGCGAUCAACAUUACUAGUUUCAAGACUAGGAAUUGUUAUAACAUGAUGUUUUUUCAAUUGUUUUUUUGCUUCAAGACAUGGUGCAACACAAACUAACAUGAAAACCAAAGCAACCAAAAGCAUUGUUGCAAAACGAGCCAUUGAUAAUUGUUAAAAUAUAGAAGUAAUGGAAUGAAGAGAAAUGUGAGUUUAUGAAGAAAAAAAAUAAGUUAUUUAUAGGCAACAAAUUAGAGAUGAAAAUGUUUUAAGGAAUGUAUCUAGAAGUGUAACACUCAAAUUAGGUCAAUAAUAAUAAAUGCAAUUGUAAGAAAAUAGAAGUGGCUUGGAAAGUGUGUAGGUACACGUGAAAACGUCAAUUUGUCUUGGGAAUUUCUUGUUUUACUACUACCUCCAUUUCAAAUUAAUUGAAUUGUUGACACAUUUUUCAUUUUUCAAAUUAACUUAAUUGUUUAAUUUUUUAGACUACUUUUAGAAUGUUUUUCUAAUUUUACCCUUCAUUAGUUAGUAUUCGAAUUAGUUAUUUAUUUAUAUUUAAUUAUUUUAAUAGGUCAGGUUUUUACUUAUGGCGUAGGUAUUAAGAGUUAGCAUGGUUCUCGAUCGCCACUGGUUCAUAACCAGUUAGCUUCCAUAUUUAAUUAUAUUAUUUUAUUAUCAUAUUAUAAGGUAAGUGGUGAUAUAUUGCCUUAGGUAUAUUAUAUUAUUUGAAUACAGUUAAAUUUAUGAUAAUUGGAGGAACUGAGACUCACCUUAGGCUUGAACUUUAGGAAAAAAUAUCCAUAUAUUUGGAUGAGCUUUUGAGUAUAGGCUAGACAUAAAGUAAUAUGGGUGUCUAAAAACGUGCUUACUUACGAAUUAUGUAUACUUGAUAGAUUGGAAACGUUGUGAGACAUUGAGGAAAAUAUAAACAUUGGAGAAGUAGCUUGCUUGACUUCGGCUCUUCGGUGGAGGUAAGUUAUGGUUUAUUUAAUGUGAUAGAUAGACUCUUAAUAGUGAUUGAUAGUCAUUGAGUGAUAUUGUGAAAUUUUCUAUGUACUUGGUUGUUGUAAUUUGGAUAAUAUAUAUGUUCUUGUGAUUGGUUUGUAAUCCCAAAACCAAAAAUCCAUAAUCUUGAACUUGUUCUAUUAAAGUGAUGCCUUGAAUAAAGAAAGUUUAAUGAAAUAUUGUUAAGGAAAUGGAAAGAGAUGAUAAAGAAUGAAAAAUGAGUUAAUUAUAUGGUUGGAUUGGGUGCCACGAGCCAGCACGGUAUUAUUGGAUCGGGUGUUACGUUCCGACACGAUAUUAUUAGAUUGAGUGUCACGUUCCGACACGGUAUUAUUGGAUCGGGUGCCAUGUUCCGGCACGGUAUGAUUGAAUCGGGUGACAUGUUUUGGCACGGUAACAUCAAAGGAAAAUAUAUUGAAAUAACUUAAAGUACUCAAUCUCAAAGAAACCAUUUCCCAAAUAAGCAUGGUGUGGAGGCAUAAGUCCUCAUGUGUGAUCUUGAUAUUGUUGAUUGAUUAUGUACUUACUUUAGUGUUGUUGUCACUGGUUUAUUUUUUUGUUGUUUGCCGCCUGCUAAGUGUCAUAGUUGAUUUUAUACUAUUACUCACUGCAUAUUAGUUUCUAUUUUGAGUUGGCCGAUGAUAUCUACUCAGUACAUGUUCCCAUGUACUGGCCCUUACUUGUGUUUUCUCCUUUUUCUUUUGUCUAGUUUAACAAGUGUACCAUCGACUUCGACUCUCCCUCAGCUUUUGCCAGUUUCCAACUCAUCAUAUUUCAGGGUGAGCUACUCCUUUUAGCUUGUGCUGGAUUCUCUCGGUUAUGGCAAGAUGUCCUUAAAUUUUUGACAUAGUGUCACGACCCAGAUCGUCGUGAUUGGCACCCACACUAACCUCCGGUGGAAAAACCAUUAAUACUAAUCAGCUAACCCCAAAACUGAACAUUUAAAGAUAUAGAAACAGAUUUAAAUGCAGAAAUAAAGUGGAGUUCCCAUAAACUCCGAAAGUCUAACAAUUCGAUACUAAAACAUUGCGGAAAACACCCCUAGAAUCUAAAAGUCAUGUACCAAAACAUCUAAAGUUCAACAAUCUAAGAAAAUGGUACAACCCCAACUAACAUAUGAAUUAAUUAAAUAGUCUAAGUCCGAAGGAAUGGACUAAACAAGAAAGAGAACUCCAUGGCAGCCUGAAAAAUUGGCUCACCCUUGAAAUUCGGUCUCGAUCACUAUUGUCCUAGCUGAGGUCUAUUAGUAGCCACCUGAAAAUGCCUUGUACUAAAAAAGAAUGCGCAAGUGCAGUAUCAGUGCACAACCAGAGUGUACUGGUAGGAUCACGCGGCUAUCCCAGUUAGGACAACAUAUACCAAUAAUCACAAAAAGAUGAACAUGACAUGCACAAAAUGUAAACACAUAUACCAUUAUCAAUCAUGACCAACUUACCAUUCCACAUUCUCUUUAACAAGUAGUUAUGACAAUUCAAUGGUCCUCUCAUGGAAUUCAUACCCAAACUGUUAGUGUACCGGGACGUGGUACUCAAUCCUAAUUAGUGUGCCGGACGUGACACCCGAUCCCCUAUAUGCACCGGAACGUUGCACCCGAUCCAAGUUAGUGUGUCGAAACGUGACACCCGAUCCAUUCAACACAACCACAAUCACAAUUACAUUCAUAUGUAGCUUCUCAAAAUCAUACAAUCAAGUGUUGAAUCAUGACAUACAUUUAAUCAUUCAUUCUUAUUUCAUUAGGUUUGAUCAGAAUGCUUCAUUCACGUACAUAUAUGCAUCACAAUGAAGUAAUCACCAACAUAUAUCACGCAAAGAAGAAAUCAAACCACCACCUACCUCAAAACCAAGCUUGAAUCCUCUUAAGGCACUUGAAUCUUCCCUUUCCGGAUUAUUUCCGCUUGUUCGUGGUCUAAAAACAACAAUUUAAUACAAGGAUCAAUAAACGGGGCCUAAUUACCCGGAUUACAAUCAACAUUAUCAACCCUAGGCCAAACCCAUGAUCCUAAGAUGCAGUUAGGGAUUUUUUUCACCAUCAAUUUCAGUCUAAAAACCCUCCCCCAAUAAUAAUUACCCAAGAAUCUAAGUUAUAUGGAUCGAAAAUACGGAUUAGGGGAGUAAAAUCCUUACCUUUAGACUUUAGUGCUAGAAGAGGUGGAAAAUUGUUUAGAACAUGCCAUCGUUCAUCCCUUAGCUCUCAAGAACGAAAAUUGCAGAAUAAUAACAUUUUUGGGGUUUAUAUACGACUUAAGUCGCGACUGGCGCGCUAUGCCGGACCCCAUCCCGCCACAGCGGCCCCGCCUUGGCGGUUUGAAUACCGUUCUGGCGGCUUGCGCGUAGCUAAAACGUCGGAAUUAGAGUCUCAAACCCCCAUUUCACAACACACCUUCAACUCAUGAGAAUCAGAAGCUACUCGUUCACACUAAGGUUAGUUAACGUCUUAGCUAUCUACUCAUGUGAUCAAAAUCAUAAUUAGAUCUCUCAUUCCUUUCCAGAUUUCUCUAGACCACGCUGACUCCGAUCGAUUUUGUCCAAAUCUGGACUAGGCUAGGAAUUCUCUAGUUACUGUGAAAAGUUUUCCGGUCCAAAAAUUUUCCCCGUUGGUUUUUCUAUAACGACGGGAGCAGGUCGUUACACAUAGACUAUCCUACUUAUUUAUUUUGGUAUCUUUAAUACUCUUAGACUUGUUGUUUUGAGAAUAGAUGUCCUUAUGUGAUGACUUUCAGGUUUUGAGGAUAAUAUGUACAGACUCUAGAGAUUUCUUUUAUUGAAACUUUAAUAAGAUUUUAGCUUCCACAUUUUGUUUCUUUUCGUAAGUUGAACAAUUGAUAUAAGUUGGGGUUGAAUUCGUUGGUUUUACCACUUAGGAUGUUUAGUGUGUGUGCCACUCAUGACUCGUUUUGGGUCGUGAAAUAAAUACUGAGACUUUAGUUUUUUGUAAUAAAAAUUAAUAUUGUGAGGUGCAACUUCGUUUUUCUAACAUAUAGCUUAUAAUAUAUGGAUUCUUAAGCACAACAAUAUCUAAUAGCUAUGAGAAAUAUACCAUAGAUAAUAUUUCUUUCAACCAUAGCAAAAUUUUAGAAUAUUGAAAUCAAAACGAUACAUUGCAUUAUUGAAUUUUUAAAAUAUUGGAAAUACUCAAACUUUAAACUAAUAUGACCUUCUCUCUUGAUGAAUCUUUAAUUUCGAUAAAAUUAAGUUUCCUUCUUCAUUUGAUGAACUUGUACUCAACUGAUGUGAACAUCUCUUGAUUAUGACCUCUUUCAGAACUCGGGGAUGACCUCAAAGGAGGAUUACCACCAUGGCCCAUUCCAGGACUAUGAAACGAUUUAAACUUGCGAUCAACAUUGCUAGUUUCAAGACUAGGAAUUGUUAUAACAUGAUGUUUUUUCAAUUGUUUUCUUGCUUCAAGACAUGGUGCAACACAAACUAACAUGAAAACCAAAACAACCAAAAGCAUUGUUGCAAAACGAGCCAUUAUUAAUUAUUAAAAUAUAGAAGUAAUGGAAUGAAGAGAAGUGUGAGUUUAUGAAGAAAAAAUAAGUUAUUUAUAGGCAACAAAUUAGAGGUGAAAAUGUUUUAAGGAAUGUAUCUAGAAGUGUAACGCUCAAAUUAGGUCAAUAGUAAUAAAUGCAAUUGUAAGAAAAUAGAAGUGGCAUGGAAAGUGUGUAGGUACACAUGAAAACGUCAAUUUGUCUUGGGAAUUGCUUGUUUUACUACCACCUCCAUUUCAAAUUAAUUGAAUUGUUGAGGCAUUUUUUCAUUUUCACAUUAACUUAAUUGUUUAAUUUUUUAGACUACUUUUAGAAUGUUCUUCUAAUUUUACGCUUCAUUGGUUAGUAUUGGAAUUAGUUAUUUAUUUAUAUUUAAUUAUUUUAAUAGGUCAGGUUAUUACUUAUGGCGUAGGUAUUAAAAGUUAGCAUGGUUCUCGAUCGCCACUGGUUCGUAACCGAUUAGCUUCCAUAUUUAAUUAUAUUAUUUUAUUAUCAUAUUAUAAGGUAAGUGGUGAUAUAUUGCCUUAGGUAUAUUAUAUUAUUUGAAUACAGUUAAAUUUAUGAUAAUUGGAGGAACUGAGACUCACCUUAGGCUUGAACUUUAGGAAAAAAUAUCCAUAUAUUUGGAUGAGCUUUUGAGUAUAGGCUAGACAUAAAGUAAUAUGGGUGUCUAAAAACGUGCUUACUUACGAAUUAUGUAUACUUGAUAGAUUGGAAACGUUGUGAGACAUUGAGGAAAAUAUAAACAUUGGAGAAGUAGCUUGCUUGACUUCGGCACUUCGGUGGAGGUAAGUUAUGGUUUAUUCUAUGUGAUAGAUAGACUCUUAAUAGUAAUUGAUAGUCAUUGAGUGAUAUUGUGAAUUUUUCUAUGUACUUGGUUGUUGUAAUUUGGAUAAUAUAUAUGUUCUUGUGAUUGGUUUGUAAUCCUAGACCACAAAAUCCAUAAUCUUGAACUUAAUCUAUUAAAGUGAUGCCUUGAAUAAAUAAGGUUUAAUGAAAUAUUGUCAAGGAAGUGGAAAGAGAUGAUAAAGAAUGAAAAAUGAAAUAACUAUAUGGUUGGAUUGGGUGCCACGAGCCGGCACGAUAUUAUUGGAUCGGGUGUCAUGUUCUAACACGGUAUUAUUAGAUCGGGUGUCACAUUCCAACACGGUAUUAUUGGAUCGGUUGUCACGUUUCAGCACAGUAUUGUUGAAUCGGGUGACAUGUUCUGGCACGGUAAAUUCAAAGGAAAAUAUAUUGAAAUAACUUAAAGUACUCAAUCUCAAAGAAACCAUUUCCCAAAUAAGCAUGGUGUGGAGGGAUGAGUCCUCAUGUGUGAUCUUGAUAUUAUUUAUUUGAUUAUGUACUUACUUUAGUACUGUUGUUACUAGUUCAUGUUGUUGUUGUUUGCCACCUGCUAAGUGUCAUAGUUGAUUUUAUACUAUUACUCACUGCAUAUUAGUUUCUAUUUUGAGUUGGCCGAUGAUAUCUACUCAGUACAUGGGAACAUGUAGUGUCCCUAACUUGUGUUUUCUCGUUUUCUUUUAUGGAGUCCAGCAAGUGUACCAUCGACUUCGACUCUCCCUCAGCUUUAGCCAGUCUCCAGCUCAUCAUAUUUUAGGUGAGCUACUCCUUUUAGCUUGUGCUGGAUUCUCUCGGUCAUGGCAUGUUGUCCUUAAAUUUCUGACAUAGUGUCACGACCUAGACCAUCGUGAUUGGCAGCACACUAACCCUCCAGUUGGUGAACCAUUAAUACUAAUCAGCUAACCCCAAAACUAAACAUUUAUAGAUACAGAAACAAAUUUAAAUGCAGAAAUAAAGUGGAGUUUCCAUAAACUCUGGAAGUCUAAAAAUUCGGUACUAAAACAUUGCGAAAAACACCCCUAGAAUCUAAAAGGCAUGUACCAAAUCAUCUAAAUUUCAACAAUCUAAGAAGAGGGUACAACCCUAACUAACAUAUGAAUUAACUAAAUAGUCUAAGUCUGAAGGAAUGGACUAAACAAGAAAGAGAACUCCAUGGCAGCCUGAAAAAUUGGCUCACCCUUGAAAUUCGGUCUCGAUCAAUACUCUCCUAAUUGAGGUCUAUCAGUAGCCGCCUGAAGAUGCCUUGUACUAAAAAAGAAAGAGCAAGUGCAGUAUCAGUGCACAAUUAUAGUGUACUGGUAGGAUCACGCGGCUAUCCCAGUAAGGACAACAUAUACCAAUAAUCACAACAAGGUAAACAUGGCAUGCACAGAAUGUAAACACAUAUACCGAUUAUCAAUGAUGAACAACUUACCAUUCCAUAUUCUCUUUAACAAGUAGUUAUGACAUUUCAAUGGUCCUCUCAUGGAAUCCAUACCCAAACUGUUAGUGUACCGGGACGUGGUACCCAAUCCUAAUUAGUGUGCCGGGCGUGACACUUGACCCUCUAUAUGCGCUGAUCUUAGGCAUAUUUAUAUGCCUAAGUUGUCAAUAAUUGUCCAUAAAGUUCUUGAAUUGAGGAAUGAUCUUUAGUGUAUUAGCUUGAUUUUUGUUAUACUUGUAAUGAUCGUGCACUUACACACAUGAUUAGUUGUUGCAGGAACGUUUAAGGAGCUUGGAGUCGAAUGGAAGAAAAGGAUUGCAAAGGCGUGUAGGAAUUGGCUUAUUGUGGAAGCACCUAGGCUUGGCGUACUGGUAGGCGUGCCGCGCCAGGCACAAAAGUUUUGCGAGGAUUCUCAGGCGUGUUGUUUGGCGCAACGAGCCAAUGAAGAACUGCUUGUAACAAUGCUUGGCGCUCUGCGAGACGCGCCGCGCCACAGUGCAAAGUUCUGAGCGCGUUGCCAAGCGCGAUAGAGGCACGACACGUCCCUCUUUUACCGACUUUUCCAAGUUUUAAACAUUGAAUAAGAUUCCUAAUUUGAGUAGGAUUUGUUCCCAACUUUUCCUACUAUUAUAAAUAGAUCCUUAGGGCUUCAUACUAGGGGUUCAACUUUUAAUUUAGUGUGCAAGAGCAUGAAUUCAAGUUUGGAAUAGGUUUUAAUCCUUUAACUCUUCUAUUUUCUGGAAAUUGCAUGAACUAUUGUAUUUUCUAGUUUUCUAAUAGCAUGAGUGGCUAAACGCCCUUGUUCUGGGGCUGUAUGCUACGAAUGGAUUGUUGAUUAUUAAAGGCUUUAUGAAUUAAUUCGUGGUUGUCAUUAUAAGUUAUUUCUAUAUUCUUGUUUUAGUAUUUCUUGACUGGCCAUCUGGAAAUAAAUCUAUUGUUUAACCUUAAAAUCGGGAGAGAAGAGGCUAGAUAGACUAGAGAAUAUAGAGAGCUCGAUCGACCCAUUUAAUUGAGGUGAUUUAUGUUUAGGAGUGACGCUCAGACGAACAACUUGCUUGGUUACGAAAUAAGAUGAAAUAUAAAUGCUCGUCAGUUAGUCUAUUUAUCCCCGCUCAACGAUGUAGCUAGAUAUCUAACUGGAGUAGGCAACUAGAGGUGUAUAGCCCGACUCAUACAAUUAACCCUAUAAACCAGUAACUUGACAACUGAAAUUUGGUCUAAGCCAAUAAUAUGAUACAUGAUAUUCAGUAUAUGCUGCAGCCCUGGAUUUGCCUUUUACUUGCUUGAAACAUCAUCUUAAGGUCGUUCACAUUUAGUUACGUUUAUUUAGUUCAUAAUUAGUAGUAGUUAACAAUCAAUCAUCAACUCUUGAAAAGGUUACUUUUACUGUUAUUUGUAGAAUUAAGUGUUAAAUAUAAAUUGAUCAUAAGUCCCUUGGGAACGAUAACUCGUUUCUUAAAGAAUCUAUAUUGCUUGCGCGUUCACAUACACUUGCAUGUAUAUUGGGGAGCAACAUGCGACGGAACGUGGCACCCGAACCAAGUUAGUGUGUCGAAACGUGAUACCCGAUCCAUUAAACACAACCACAAUCAUAAUUACACUCAUAUUUACCUUCUCAAAAUCAUACAAUCAAGUGUUGAAUCAUGACAUACAUUUAAUCAUUUAUUCUCAUUUCAUUAGGUUUGAUCACAAUGCUUCAUUCACGUACAUGCAUGCAUCACAAUGAAGUAAUCACCAACAUCUAUCACACAAACAAGAAAUCAAACCAUCACCUACCUCGAAACCAAACCUGAAUCCCCCUGAGGCACUUUAAUCUUCCCUUUUCGGAUUCUUUCUGCUUGUUCGUGGUCUAAAAAUAACAAUUUAAUACAAAGAUCAAUAAACGGGGAAUUAUUACCCAUAUUACAAUCAACAUUAUCAACCCUAGGCCAAACCCAUGAUCCUAAGGUGCAGUUAGGGCUUUUUCCCACCAUCAAUUUUAGUCCAAAAACCCUCCCCCAACAAUAAUUACCCAAGAAUCUAAGUUCUACGGAUCGAAAUACAGAUUUGGGGAAUAAAAUCCUUACCUUUAGACUUUAGUGCUAGAAGAGGUGGAAAACAGUCAAGAACUUGGCCUAAUUCGUCCCUUAGCUCUCAAGAAUGAAAAUUGUAGAAUAAUAACGUUUUUUAGGUUUAUUUCCGACUUAAGUCGCGACUGUCCUGCUACGCUGGACCCCAUCCCGCCACAGCAUCCCCGUGCUGGCGGCUUGCGCGGAGAUAAAACGUUGGAAUUAGAGUUCCAAACCCCCAUUUCACAACACACCUUUAACCCAUGAGAAUCAGAAACUACCCGUUCACGCUAAGGUCAAUUUGGGAGAUCUACUCGCUCGAAUUUGAUUCUAUAAAGUCGUACGGGUUCCUUAACGUCUUAACUAUCUACUCAUGUGAUCAAAAUCAUAAUUAAAUCUCUCAUUCCUUACCAGAUUUCUCUAGACCACGCUGAUUCAGAUUUCGUCCAAAUCUAGACUAGGCUAGAAAUUCUCAAUUUACUACGAAAAGUUUUUCGGCCCAAAAUUUUUCCCCGUUGGUUUUUCUAUAACGGCGGGAGCAAGUCGUUACACAUAGACUAUCCUACUUAUUUAUUUUGGUGUCUUUAAUACUCUUAGACUUGUUAUUUUGAGAAUAGAUGUCCUUAUGUGAUGACUUUCAGGUUUUGAGGAUAAUAUGUACCGACUCUAGAGAUUUCUUUUAUUGAAACUUUAAUAAGUUUUGAGUUUCCACAUUUUGUUUCUUUUCGUAAGUUGAACAAUUGAUAUAAGUUGGGGUUGAAUUCGUUGGUUUUACCACUUAGGAUGUUUAGUGUGUGUGCCACUCAUGACUCGUUUUGGGUCGUGAAAUAAAUACUGAGACUUUAGUUUUUUGUAAUAAAAAUUAAUAUUGUGAGGUGCAACUUCGUUUUUCUAACAUAUAGCUUAUAAUAUAUGGAUUCUUAAGCACAACAAUUGAUAUUGUGAGGUGCAACUUCCACAUUUAUUUUCUUUUCGUAAGUUGAACAAUUGAUAUAAGUUGGGGUUGAAUUCGUUGGUUUUCCCACUUAGGAUGUUAAGUGUGGGUGCCACUCAUGACUCGUUUUGGGUUGUGAAAUAAAUACUGAGACUUUAGUUUUUGGUAAUAAAAAUUAAUAAUGAGUGCAAAUAAUUUUUGAGCUAUUUAAGUAUAAUAAUAAAUAGAAGAGUAUAAUUGAUAUAUUUAUUUAUUGUACAAUAAUAAGUAAGUAGAAAAAUAUGAAAAAUAGGCAAAAAACUGAGGAAAAAGAUAAAUAGAAUCCUUGGCCAAAGAGAGGUGCAACUUCGUUUUUCUAACAUAUAGCUUAUAAUAUAUGGAUUUUUAAGCACAACAAUAUCUAAUAGCUAUGAGAAAUGUAGCAUAGAUAAUAUAUCUUUCAACCAUAACUAAAUUUUAGAAUAUUGAAAUCAAAACAAUACAUUGUAUUAAUGAAGUUUUAAAAUAUUGGAAACAUUCAAACUUUAAACUAAUAUGAGCAUCUCUAUAGAUGAAUCUUUAAUUUCGACAUAAUUAAGUUUCCUUCUUUAUUUCGAUGAACUUGUAAUAAACUGAUGUGAACAUCUCUUUAUAAUGACCUCUUCCAGAACUCAGGGAUGACCUCAAAGGAGGAUUACCACCAUGGCCCAUUCCAGGACUAUGGAACGAUUUCAACUUGCGAUCAACAUUGCUAGUUUCAAGUCUAGGGACUGUUAUAACAUGAUGUUUUUUCAAUUGUUUUUGUGCUUCAAAACAUGGUGCAAGACAGACUAACUAUACAUCCUCCGUCCAAUAAUAGCCAAAGCAUUAAUUAUACUCAUUUUCUUAUUAAUUGUUAAAAUAUACAUCCUCCGUCCAAUAAUAGUUGUCCACUAUACUAUUGGGAUGUCCAACAAUACUUGUUCACUUUAUAAAAUCAAUGGAUAAUUUUACAAUUAGUUCCUAAUUUAGCCUUAUCAUUAAUUAUACUAAUUUCCAUAUUACAUUUUUCAAGAUUUUCUAUUUAUUAUAUUCAAGUGGUGAUAUGGUAAAAUUACCCUUUUAUUUAUAAUUUUAUUGGGGAUAUGCCAAAUCAAUAAUGGACAACUAUUUUGGAUAGAAGAAUAUAAGAAAUGAAAUGAAGAGAGGUGUGAGAUUAUUAAGAAAAUAAUAAGGUAUUUAUAGGCAACAAAUUAUAGAUUAAAAUGUUUGAGAGAUGUAUCUUGAAGUGUAACGCUCAAACUAGGUCAAUAGUAAUAAUUGAAAUGGUAAGAAAAUAGAAGUGUCUUGGAAAUUGUGUAGGUACACAUAAAAAUGUCAAUUUGUCUUGGGAAUUGCUUGUUUACUUUAAAUUAGAGAAUUUGGCAUCGCUUCGUGUAGUUAUGAAAAAUAUAUAUAUUUUAAAAAUUAAACAUGAUACAAGAAAUAAAAAAUCAACUAUAGAAAUAAGAAAAUGAUAAAAUCACAAUACAAAUAUUUUGUAGAACUAGAGCAAUUAUAUUUUUAUUAUCAAAUAUUUUUUAAAAUUAAAAGGAUAAUUUAUUCAGAUUUUUUAUAUAUAUUAUAAUGUUAAUAGAUAUAAUUCGACUAAACAUAUUUAAGGACUUUAUUUUUUUCUCAUUUUUAUUAAUUGAUAAAUGUAUUGUUUGAUGAAUCUUCCUUUUAAUAAAAAAAAGUGAUGAAACUAAAAAAUAGGAGGAAAAAGAUAUAAGUAUUUCUAUUUCAUUUCUUUUUUUUAUAUUUAAUUCUUUCAUUGUCCUUGUUUUUUCUCUUAUUUUUCUUCAUCGUCUAAAUAAAUAUUUUCCUCUUAUUUUUCAUCAUCAUCUAAAGAACAAAUUAUAAGAAAUUGUGAAUGGUUCUUCACCAUAAGAAACACUUAAGAACAACGUAUUUCAAUAUUUAAUACGCAUUUUUUUUUACCAUUAGUAGUAAAAUUUAAAUUUAUGUUGUCUUAGUUAGAUGUGUUCUGACAAAGUUACAAAUAACUAAUUUGAUCCUAAAUGAAAAUGUAAUUUACUACAAUUAAAAAAGUUAUAAGAACCUAAAUUCAAAAAACAAUAAAAAUCUCGAACAUAUGAAAAAAAAAGUAAGUAAAAAGAGAAAAAUAACAAUACAUUUUUGUAAAGUCCUUAGUCACAAAAAGAAAGAUGAAAAAAAUUACAUAAUCAAUGAACAUAUUUUUGAACUUUUAUUCAGCUCCCAUUUUAUCCACAUCUAAGAGCCUUUUCAUGGAGUCAAACUAAAAUAGAAAUAUGAUACUACAACCAUAAUAUAGAAUAUCACUAUUUUAAAUAUGAAAUAAAAAUAAUAAUCUUGAGUAGAAAUAUUAUGAAACAAAAAAUAUGAAUUUAUAUAGACAAAAUUGAAGUAAUAUCAUAAGGUAUCUUAAAUUUUGAAAUUAUAUAGUUGGGGGUUAUGAAUAUGAAAAUUUAAAGAAAAUGAGUUAAUUAUUAAUUAAAGUUGAAGUUCAAUAGGUAUAGUUUAUGGAGGUAAAUUUUUUAAAAUAAAUAAAAGAAGGAAAAAAUAAAAUAAUGAAGAGAAAAAAAACUUAUGAACUAUUCAAUGUUUGUUGGGUGUUUAAGUUUUAUUAGGAAAGCAAGCAAAUCAACUUCAUCUUAACAAAAUUGAAAGAGGAAAAAAAAUACAAGCAAUAUCUUGAAAGGUUGAAGUAGUAAAUAUUGAGACUUUUUUUUUUUUUUUUUGUAAUAAAGGAUAAUAAUGAGAGCAUAUAAUUUUUGAGACAUUUAAGUAUAACAAUAUUUAGAAGAGUAGUAAUUGAUAUAUUUAUUUUUUGUACAAUAAUAAGUAAGUAGAAAAAUAUGUUUGUCAAAAAAUUGAGGGAAAAAAUAAAUAGAAUUCUUGGCCAAAGAGAGGAACAACUUCACUUUUCUAACAUAUAGUUUAUAAUAUAUAGAUUUUUAAGCACAGCAAUAUCUAAUAGCUAUGAAAAAUGUACCAUAGACAAUAUAUCUUUCAACCAUAGCAAAAUUUUAGAAUAUUGAAAUCAAAACAAUACAUUACAUUAAUGAAUUUUUAAUAUAUUGGAAACAUUCAAACUUUAUACUAAUAUGACCAUCUCUCUUGAUGAAUCUUUAAUUUCAACAUAAUUAAGCUUCUUUCUUCAUUUUGAUGAACUUGUACUAAACUAAUGUGAACAUCUCUUCGUAAUGAAUUUUUGAAGAAUAUAUCUUUGAUCUUCAUCAAAGUGAAGGACAUAUCAUGUCGCUAUCUUUUCUAUGAUUUCUUAUGGAAAAGAUGAAGAAUAAAAUUUAUAAAAAAGAGAGAAAAAAAACUAUGCUAAUAGAAAAAAAAAUGAAAAAUAAAUAUUCAACAUCUGCAUGGAUGAUUGUUACUAAUAGAUUUGAUAAGAAAGGAGUUGAAAAGGCAUGUUAUUUAAGUAGAGAAAAUAUAAAUAGAUGGAGGUUUUUUGUAACUCAUCAAAUAUAAUUAGAAUAGUAAAUAUGAUUGAAUUUCUUAUUGGGAAAAAUUGUAUAAAAUAGCAAACUAUUAAUUCAAAUUAAAUGCCAUAACCACAGUUUCAUUUAAUUCUAAUCCGUAGCAAACACUUUUUCAUUCGCCUCUCUCCCCAGAAAUCUCCCUCGCCACUCUCCCUCACCUCUCUCACUUUAUACAAACACAAAUGUAUAAAUUGUGUUUGUGUUUGUAUAAACCGAGAGAAAACUAUAUAUACAAAUACAUAUCUCUUCGUUCUAUACACUUGUAAUUAUACAAUACAAAUCUUUCUCUGCCCAGUUCUCUUUUUCCUUGCUCUCUUUCUUGUUUUAUACAAACACAAAUUAUACAAAAUACAAUGUAUAAUUUGUGUUUGUAUAAAGCAAGAGAGAGAUUUGAUAUACAAAUACAAUUGUUUUAACUCGAUUCAAUUGUAUGUGAAUUCAAGUUUUAUGCAGAUAUACAAACACAAAGACCAUAUGCAUAUACAAACACAAUUUUCAUAGACACAGACGCCUUAUUUAUACAAAUCGAUGUGAUUUAUACAAAUCAGAUGCCAACAAUUUUAUACAAAUCAAAGAUGUCUGCUAUUUUUUAACAGAUUUGAUGUUUCAUAGCAAACAAUGUUUGCUAUGGAGCGCAAAUAGCAAAACCGUAGCUAUAGAACGUUAAUAUGAUUUUUAUGUUUGCUAAACCUAAAACUUACUCUUUCUUUUUUAAUAAAGAAAAUAUUUUAUGAAAAAAAUAAGUCUGAAUGGAAGCCACAGAGAGGUGUCACAUCACAUCAUCUAUGUUUCUCCUUUAUAUUAUAUAUAGAUUGAGAAAAAUGUCAUAAAUAGUUUCUUAUCUAACUCCGCCCAAUAAUAUAUAUUCAAUUUAUAAAAUUGAUGAAUAAUUAAUUAUAUUGUGUUUAUUUAACCUUUGCUAUUAGAUACUAUUCAUUUUUAAAAAAUAUUUUGAUGAUUUAUAUUUAAUAGGGGUGAUUUGCUAAAAUUACCGCUAUUAUUUACUACUUCUUAGUCCCGGUGUCAAAACAGAGGGGGUAGAAAUACGUCCAAAACGAAACCUUAAAUAUAAACUUGUUGGAUUUAGUUCUUUAAGUAUUUAAAAAUUUAUCAAGUUUGGUCUUUAUUCAUUUUUUUUAUACUUAGGCUUAUAUUAUUAAAAAAUUCACCCGUUAGUGAAUUUAAAUAUUUUAAUUCAUUUUUUCAGUUUCUUAAUUGAAGAUUUAAUGUAAUUUUGAGUGUGAUAUAGGUAGGAUUUCUCCCACAUAUAUAAGAUAAUUUUAAUUGCUUGGUUUGAAGCACAGAUUAAUUACUUUCACUACAACUUCAAAUUUAGGACGACACCUUCCUGUGAAUUUAGGUGAUUAGGAUACUGGUGUAUCCGGUGCGGAGGAAAACAAUUUCUAUCAGAUUUUUUAAAAAAUAAAAUAAUAAACUUUUCUUGAAUUGUUAAAAAUUGAAAUUUUGUUGUUAAUAUUGUUUUAAAUAAUAAAAAGAUCAAUUUUACUGAUUGAAAAAACAAAUGCUCCACUUAGCAUUUCAGAUUAUCCUUAACUAAGUCAAAUAAAUUAUUAGCAUUUUAUAUGUAUACUACUACUUACAACGUUUAGUUGAGACCUUUGGAAUAUUUAGUCAUUGCAAAAAAUAAUAACUAGAAGUACAUGUUGAUCAAAAUAUAUCAUUAAUUCAUAAAUGAUCAUAUAUGUCCAUGAACAUACUGUCACAUAAUAUUGUACUUAAAAUAUUGCAACCUACUGCAAAAUCAAAAGUUGCACAUUUACUAAUUGAACGAUCAUUGACCAAUAUCAUGACUCGAGACUGACAUAAACCUACGAUCAACAUGGCCCAUUCCAGGACCAAGUGGGCCAGAAUGGUCGGCACCAAGACUAGGGCCAGGAUUCAAGUUGCCAUAAACAUGGCUCAUUCUAGGACCAGGUGGGCCAGAAUGACCGGCUCUAGGACUAGGGCAAGGAUUCAAGUUGCCAUAAACAUGACCCAUUCCAGGACCAGGUGGGCUAGAAUGGCCGGCUCCAGGACUAGGGCCAGGAUUCAAGUUGCCAUAAACAUGGCCCAUUCCAGGACCAGGUGGGACAGAAUGACCGGCUCCAGGACUAAGGCCAGGAUUCAAGUUGCCAUAAACAUGGCCCAUUCCAGGACCAGGUGGGACAGAAUGACCGGCUCCAGGACUAAGGCCAGGAUUCUGCCAAUUCCAGGACCAGGUGGGCCAGAAUGACCGGUUCCAGGACUAGGGCCAGGAUUCAAGUUGCCAUAAAUUAACAUGGCCCAUUGUAGGACCAAGUGGGCCAGAAUGGCCGGCUCCAGGACUACGGCUAGGAUUCAAGUUGCCAUAAACGUGGCCCAUUCCAGGACCAGGUGGACCAGAAUGGCCGGCUCCAGGACUAGGGCCAGGAUUCAAGUUGCCAUAAACAUGGCCCGUUCCGGGACUAGGUGGGCCAGAAUGGCCGUCCCUAGGACUAGGGCCAGGAUUUAAGUUACCAUAAACAUGACCCAUUCCAGGACCAGGUGGGCCAGAAUGGCCGGCUCCAGGACUAGGGCCAGGAUUCAAGUUACCAUAAACAUGACCUUCUUUGCAUGGGGCCGAAGAAGCCAGGUUAUUUACCUUCUUAUCCAUGUUGUUCAAUUGUCUUCUUGCUUCAAAACAUGGUGCAACACAAACUAACAUAGUAACCAAAGCAAUCAAAAGCAUAAAUAUUGCAAAAUGAGCCAUUACUAUUUGGAGAGUGAUGUCCAAUUAAAUAUUGGGAGCAAAAAGGAGAACAAAGAAGUAAUGAAAUGAAGGCAAAAACAUGUUAUUUAUAGACAACAAAAAACUACCGUUUAAGAAAUCUAGACUAUAGUUCAUUAAUUAGUAAUAAUUGAAAUUUUAAGAAAAAGAAGAGUUCUGCUUUGUGUAUCCUAUGAAGUGUCUUGGUGAUUGGGUAGGUACAGAAGAACUAAACUAGAGAGUAAUUGAUAAGCAGCCGGCGUUUGCUGUUCCCAUUAUAUAAACUUGCUUAUUGGCCCUCUUGCUCUACGUACAAUAUUAUGGUUGUGUCAUGUGUGGAUUAUGAAUAUAUGUUUAAUUCACUUGGAUGACUUGUUACGAAAUCUAAGAAAAUAAAAUAGUUUUUUUAAUCUUACAUUUUAAAUUAAAGUUUUUACAAUAUUUUACUUUCAUCACAUGACAUGUUUAAAUUCACAAAAUUAAAGAAUAUUUUGGUAUAUAUGACAUAAAUUUAUCUAGCCAAAUACGUUCUUUAUGAUUUUGUGGGUUAUGAUGAAUAUGUGUUCACUUCACUUCAUUCAUUCUGGCUUAGAUAAAGAUACUUUAGUUCUCAAUUUUUUUAUUAAAUAAGUAACGAGAGCAAAAAUUAAAACCCAUUAAAUUUGAGAAUAAAAAUGAAAUAUCACUCCAAAAUAAAAAAGACAAUUCGUGCAAUAACUUUAUUAGAGAUCUCAUAUUUAAAUUGUGACAACGACAAAAAGUCCUAUUAAAUAGUAUUUUUUUCUCUUGAACAAAUCUUACACAACACAAAUUUAAAUUAAUUUAAUUUAAUUUUAAUAUAAAUACCGAGCUCGAAAAACUAAAAACUAAGUUUAGAGAGAAACGAAGAGGGUCAAGAAAAUGCUCAUUGAUCAUUAAAGGCACGUGUACAUAUAUCAUAUUAAUAAAGUUGACUUAAGAAAACAUUAAAUAAGGGUAGAAUGGUAAAGUUACAUCAUGUUUUAAUGAAAGUGCAAAAGUAAAAAUGUAUUUCCAGGUGUUUCUUAAUUGAAUAUUUAAUGUAAUUUUGAGUGUGAUAUAUGCAGAAUUUCUCCCAUAUAUAUAAAGAUAAUUUUAAUUACUUUGUUUGGAGUGGAGAUUAAUUACUUUCACUACAACUUCAAAUUUCAUAUGACACCUUCGCGUAAAUUCAGGUGAUGAGGAUACUUGUGUAUUUGGUGAAGAGGAAAACAUUUUCCAUCGAAAACAAUUUAUUUAAAAAUAAGAAAACUGGCUUUUUUGAAUAGCUAAAAUCAAAAUGUUAUAGUUAAAUGGAGUAGUUUUUACUUAUAAAUUGUAUAUAUAUAGAGAGAGUGUUUUACAAGUUAAUAUCUUAAAAAGUUACUCAACUUAGAUAAUUUAUCUAGUAAAGUCAUUAAACUUUAUUUUGUAUCAAUAAAAUCACUCAACUAAAUUUAUUAUUAAAAACAAUCUAAUAUGACAAAAUAAACUAUUUUUUAUAACAGGUAAACAUGAACCCCACUAAUAAAUAACUUUAAAAACUCAUUAAAAUUAUUUUCACAGACAAACUUAAUUAGUUAAACAAAUAACCUUAUGAUACUACAAUAAACAAAUAUACACUAAUACUCUAAUCAAAUUCACGACGAUAACUCCAAGCACACAAAAUUCAACUUUAUUUUCUCAUUUCCAACUUUUUUUCUGGUUUCAGAAAGUUGUGAGGAUUUGUAAAAAAAAAAAUCUGCUGUGUUUCUGGCGAAUUUCAGAAUGCAAUUUUUUUUUAAUGCUUUUUCUAUGAAAUUUUGUGAAAUCCUUAAUUUUUUGGAAUAUAAUACGUACUUUAACUUUUUUUCGCUAGAAAUGAUAAUUGUAGAGCAGGAAAUUCCAUAUGAUAUUAUUGUAAUGCCAUAAGAGUAUUUAUUUCACUAAUUAAGUUUGCCUGUAAAAUUUGUUAAUGAGUUUUCUUUAAAUUUAUUUAUUUAUGGAAUAUAAUACGUACUUAACUCUUUUCGUUGGAAAUGAUAAUUGUAGACCAGGAAAUUCCAUAUGAUAUUGUUGUAAUGCCAUAAGAGUAUUUAUAUCACUAAUUAAGUUUCCCGUAAAAUUUGUUAAUGAGUUUUCUUUAAAUUUAUUUAUUUGUGGGAUUUAUAUUUACAUGGUAUAUAUAAAAAUAAUUUAUUUUGUCAGGUUAGUUUAUUUUUAAUGAUAAAUUUAGUUUAUUGAUAUAAUUUUAUAAAAAAACAAAGUUUAAUGACUUUUCUAUAUAAAUUCUUAAAAUUGAAUGAGAUAUUAACUCGUGUUUAAUUUACUUGACCAACUAAUAACUAAGUCAAAUCAAUAAUUGACAUGUUACAUGUAUACUAUCUGAAAAAUUAUAUCGUAAAAUAUUAGUCAAAUUUCCUAUAGUUUGUUUCUAAAAAGAAAAUUAUGACAAUUAAAAAUGGUCGGAAAGAGUAGUACCACAUACAACGUUUUGUUGAGACUUUUGGAAUAUUUAGUCCAUGCACAAUAUUAAUAAUUAGAAUUACAAGUUGAUUAAAAUAUCACAUUAAUUAAUUAAUAAGCAUAUAUGUGCAUAAACAAACUGUCACAUGAUAUGGUACUUUUUUUUUUACAUAAUAUUGUACUUAAUAUAUUGCAUCCUACUACUAAAUAGAAGUUGCCAUUUACAAUGACUUCAAGUUACGAUAAACAUGGCCUUCUCCUGGACUAGGGCCUGAAUGGCUUUCUGAGUUAACAAUUUCAAUACUUGAGACUGAUUUCAAAUUGCGAUGAACAUUGCCAAUAGCAGGAGUUGGGACUGACUUCAAAUUGCGAUAAACAUGGCCUUCUCCAGGACUAGGGCCUGAGUGACUUUCAGACUUAACAAUUCCAAUACUUGAGACUGAUUUCAAAUUGUGAUGAACAUUGCCAAUAGCAGGAGUUGGGACUGACUUCAAAUUGCGAUAAACAUGGCCUUCUCCAGGACUAGGGCCUGAAUGACUUUCAGACUUAACAAUUUCAAUACUCGAUACUGAUUUCAAAUUGCGAUGAACAUGGCUGAUUCCAAGACUAGGGCGAUCAAAAUUACCUAUUCCAGGACUGGGGACUGAUUGCAUAUUGUGAUCAAAGUUUCCAAUUCCAGGACUUGGAACUGAUUGCAUAUUGUGAUCAAAAUUUCCAAUUCCAGGACUGGGGACUGAUUUCAUAUUGUGAUCAAAAUUUCCAGUUCCAGGACUUGGAACUGAUUCCAUACUAUGCUCAAAAUUUCCAAUUCCAGGACUAGGGACCGACUCCAAAUUGCGAUCAACAUGGCGACCAACAUAUUGUUUUUUCGUAUUUACUAAUAUGACGUGACCUUGUUUGCAUGGGGCCGAAGAAGCCGGGUUAGUGACCUUCUUCUUAUCCAUGCUGUUCAAUUGUUUUCUUGCUUCAAAACAUGGUGCAACACAAACUAACAUAAUAACCAAAGCAAUCAAAAACAUAAAUAUUGCAAAACGAGCCAUUACUAAUAUUUGUAGAGUGAUGUCUAGUUCAAUAUUGUGAGCAAAAAGGAGAUAAAAGAAGUAAUGAAAUGAAGAGAAGUGAGUGUAUUAAUAAAAAAACAAGUUAUUUAUAGACAACAAAUUUAGUUCAUUAAUUUUUAAGAAAAAGAAGAGUUUUGGUUUGUGUAUACAUAUCCUAGGAAGUGUCUUGGAAAUUGGGUAGGUACAGAUGAACUAAACUAGAGAGUAGUAAUAAGCCGCCGGCAUUUGCUGUUCCCAUUAUAUUUGCCCUCUUGCUCUACAUACAAUAUUUAUGGUCGUUGGGAUUAUGAUGAUAUAUGUUCACUUCACUUUGGAUGAUCUAACACGAAAUUAAGGGAAAAAAAAUAAAAAUUUAAUCUUCCGUGCUUUUAACAUAACUUAUUUAAAACAUAACUUUAUCUAGUCAAAUACGUUCUUUAUGGUUGUGUGGAUUAUGAUGAAUAUAUGUUCAAUUCACUUCGCUCUUAAAUAUUACUCCCUUCGUUCCUUUUUAUAUGUCAUCUUUUUCUAUAAAUAGUUAGUCCAUAAUACUUGUCAUUUCAUAAAAUCAAUGCAUAAAUUACCAUAUUGUUCCUUUUUUACCCUAGUGAGUUAUUAGCCUUGAAAAUAUACAUUUGAACAACUUAGAAAAACUAAGUAAAUGAUUCAUGUUCAUUGGUUAAAUAAAUUAAUCAAAAUAAAUUAAUUCAUAUUCAUUGAUUGAAAACUUGAGUUUCAAAAAAAUUAAAUAAGGGUAGAAGGGUAAAAUUACGUCAUUUCUUAAUGCAAGUACAAAGUAAAAAGGCGACAUAUAAAAAGGGACGGAGGGAGUACAACGGAAUCUGAAAAAUUACUACAAAAUUAUGUCAGGUGAGGUAAAAAUUCCCUAAACUUAAACCGAACAAAUUAGUUCUGGCUAGAUAAAAAUACUUUGGUUCACAAUUUUUCUAUUAGAUGAACAAUAGAAACCAAAACUAAAAAUUGAGAAUAAAAAAUAAAUUCACUCGCAAAUAAAAACGACAAUUCGUGCAAAAACUUUAUUAGAGGUGUCACAUUUAAAUUGUGACUAUGACAAAUGAAUCUUACCUAACAUAAAUUCAACCUAAUUAAAUUAAAUUCUAAUAAAAACAUCGAACCUCGAAAAAUUAAAAAUAAGUUUUGAAAGAAACGAAGAGGGUCAAGAAAAUGCACAACGUUCAUUAAAGGCACGUGUAUAUAUAAUAUAUACAGUGAACUUGUAUUUUUGAAAUCUUAAUUUUUAGUAAUAUGGUCAACAUUUACCUUUCUUUUCCAUCCACAAAAUGCGGUUGAAACCUUCGAGUUCAUGAUACAUGUUGUGACAAAAUUGACAACGAUUGACUUAUUGCGUUACACGAAUUAAAACAGUAGGAAAAAAUAUAUUUUUUCUAAAAAGUAUACGAUUUUUUACUAAUUUUUUAAAUAUAUUUUGAUAUGUAAAUAAAAAUAUUAUAAUAUAACUAUUUGUAUAUAAUCUAAAUCGGAUAUUAUAAGCUUAUAAGGAUGGGGUAGAGGGUGAUGGGAUGGGCCGCUAUAGGCAGUGGCGGAAUAUCCAGAAAUUGCACUAAGUACAUUUUUUUUUUUUGGACGAAUGAGUGUAUUAAAAUUUUUAAUAAGUAAUAUUAAUUUUGAAUUAUUUAAAAAAAUAACAAAAGCUCUUUUUAAAAAGUGAAAAAUAAAUUGUUGCUAAUAAAAUUCAAACACGAGCACUUUUAGUAUUGACUCUUUCAAUGCGUCUGAACCAUUGGGCAACAACAUAUUGUUGUGUCAAGGGUGUCCAUAUUAUAUUAUUUAAUCAAUUUGUGUAUCAUUUUACUUGUAUGUACAAUAUUAUUUUUCGACGAAGGGUGUCCAAUUGAACACAUUGAUAACUACGUAGCUCCGCCCCUGGCCGCUAUAGGAAAAUCAUGGCCCAUAAAUUGGGAGGAGACAAUAAUACUGAGAUGUUCACUUCUAGCUCAUAGCCCCUUAUAGAGUCAAUAUGAUUCAAAAUAUUUUCUCAUGCUUUCACUAGAAAAAUAAUGUUCAUGAUUACUUUUAAAACACUUUUUUAUUUAAAAAUCAAAAUAUUUCGACCAAUUGACUAUAAAUAAAAAAAUAUUUUUCUUCGUAUCGAAUUCGAACCUAUACUAAAACAAGGACAAGAGGAGUUGCAUGCAUGGUUGACAUUCUCGUUUUUAUUGCUGACCUUUGCAAGGCAAAUAAACAAUGUUCCAUGCGCUAAGCAAAAUGGAUAGUUACGUAUAUGACUUAAUUAAUUAAUUAACACUCACACACUAACCAAAAUGGAUCAGUUACGUAUUGGAGUAGUAUUAAAAAAAACACUUAAGAGACAGUUGACAUUUUAAUUAUCUAAGCAAUAUUUUUAUAAGUAACAGUACUAUGAUUUAAAAAAAUAUUUAUGCACUAACUAAAAUCUUGAUGAGCUUCUAAAUUUCUCAAAACAUUUGGAUCAAAGGUCAAUAAUACUCUAUCUGUUAUAAUUUGUUUGUCUUAGUUUGAUUUGGCGCAUAAAUUUUUAAAAUAAUUUAUUUUUUAAAAUUUUAUCAUCUUAAAUUAAAUAUAUAUACAUAUAAUAAUAAACGGAAUAAUCCUUUAAUUUUGUGUUUUUUUCUUCCUUAAUAUCUCCCAAAUGAGAUCCAAUUUCUUGACUAUAUAGUUCCGUGUUGAGGGGCUUUUACUAAUGUAUAUACAUACUACUAUUGAAUCUUGUUGAUAAGCAUGUUGACCCGUAGAGUAUUUAUCGAGCGAAAUAUGAUGCACGUAAAUUUAUGAUUUAUUCGUAAAAUUAGAUGUUUAUAUGUAUGUUUUUAGAAUUGUUGUAAUGUUAUUUGUUGGUAGCUAUGUGCUGCAAAGUUGACGGAAUGAUACAUACAUUUAAUUAGUUGAAUGUGGAGUUAUUUAUCUAGAAGAAUAGAAAUUAGAUUCUAUUUGAUAUUUUAAUUUUAUUUUUAACGAGAUAUUCAUAUUCUAGAUCCGCCUCGGUGGAGUGAGUCACUAGUGUCAAAGUUGGAGAAAGUGCACAAACUUUUAGCUUUUUAUUCUCAUUUCGUAGAAGGAAUUGAAAUUCAUGUUAUAAGUACUGUUCAUAUUUUUCUCUCUUUUUGGGAAAAAAGAUUCAAAGUAGAGAUAGAGUAUACUUUGCGUGCACACCAAAAUUAAGUCACUGCGGAUGAUAUGAUGUCUCCUUAACGAACAUUAAUGUACAUGUUUUAGUGCAUUUACGAAUGCGUUCAAAGAUAGAUUUAGAAUUUAAAAUACUAAAUUUUACAAAUUUGAAAUUCUUGGACUAGAGUGUAAGUGGUAAUAACUUGUCACUAUUGGUACAAGGGGAGGAACGAAAAACUCUAUUUUUAGUUUUUCUUUUGCUUAAAUUUUAGUACCGUUUGGAGAUUUAAUCCUUAGAAUUAUGUGCCUAAGAUGGUAAGGAUCUUUAUAGUCAUAUUUAUUUACUGAUUUUACCUCCUUCUGUAAUAGUGACUAUUCUAUUUAAUAGAAUAUUAAGUAUUGUAGUUAUAGAAUUUAUUCGUCCUUUUUUGACUUUUUGAAAAUGACUUAAAUAGCUAUGUUUUCAAAGGUAAACACCCAACUGACGUAAAGGGUUUUUCAAAAAUGUAAGGAAGAAGACAUUUGAAAGGCUUACCACUAUCUAAUAGGUAAUCUGGUGGUAAAAUCAACUACUACACAACUAUAUGUCAAGUCAUGAGCAAUAAUAUCGAAAUCAAGCCAUCGUUUAUCUAUAGGCAAAGGGACGAAAGCACGACAAUUGCUCUAGAAAAAAAAUAAAGUAGAUUAAAAUUAUGAAGCUACCUAGUCAUACUAUACAAAAAGAAAAAUGCGUCAUUUGCAUAUAGUCAUGUUAAUUAUGGAUAUAGACUAGAGUACGAGGAACCCGAAAAAAAACAUAAGGAAAUAUUUACAACUUGAGGUUCUAUAUAUUAAUGCGGAAUUAGACAUACAUUUUUUUUUUAAAUCGACUUUAUGUUACUAUCACCAAUUGCCUAAGAGGUUUCUCAUCACAAGAUCACUUGUGGAGUUGUAAAUUCGAUCUUCACAACAAACACACUCUAAUCUAAAAAUGUUUGUCUCUCAAAAUUUUAUAGUAGAACAAAGUAACAUUUAACUCCCAUUUUAUUAAAUACCUUCAUAACUCUUUUUCCAUUAAACAAGAGAGUUACAUGUUACUACAUUCAUGUGGAGAGUAACUUAUUUAAUAGCUCCAUUAAGGGUACAUUUACAUUUAAUUAGUUCUCCUUAACUUAACUUUGCACUAACAAUGGCUCGAUUAGACAUGAUUUGUUCCAUUGCUUUGAUCAUUCUACUAGCCAAAAUAUCAAUGUAGCACAUGUGUGGCCCAGAACAUCUAUGUGCAUUAAUUAAAAACAUGUUAUAUUAUCAUAUUUUCACGCUCUUUAAAAGCUAAAAUAAAAUUUAAUUGCAAAAUAGAAUUUGAAUAGCAAAACUAGGCAGCAAAUUUGAAUGUAAGAAAUGUAAAUUUGUGACUUUAACUGAAAUUCCAGACACUGAAAAUUCUUUUUUUUUGUAAGCUAAUUCAGAGUACGUUUGAUGAAGGGUCACUAUUACCAUUCAAAUAUGUUUUUAUCUUUUACUAUACUCUAGAUAUACGUGAAGGUGACAUGUCUGCAAAUUGGUGUUUGUUCUACAAUAAUAUCUGGACAAAAAGGAGAAGCAAAAUAAAUAAAAAAGGAAAAAAAUAAUAAAAGGAUAUUUAAGAAUUAAAAUGUCAAAAAUCUUUCUAUUACAUUUAAAAUUUCGUGCCAAAUCGAACCAAGAAAUUCAAAUAGAGGGAGUACUUAUAUUCCAAAAUAUUUUGCUAGUUGGUCCCCUACUUUCCAUUGUGUGGGUAUAUAUAUAUAUAUUACGAUAACGUCCAUGCUAGUUCAUAUAUGUUUCGUUCAUAAAUAGUACUAUAUAAAUAUCGAAUAAUUAUAUUCAAAGAAAAUAUUAUCCAGUACUUUUUGUCUCGCGCAGCUAAGAGUUGGAACUUUAUCUUUCUUUGGAGCUAAAAAGAGCUAGUAUUUAUUACCAUCCAAUGGUCAGUAUCCAUAUUGAAAUUUAUUUAAAUUUGAACUCGUGCAUUACAGAUCUAUUCUAAAAGAUGAUUUUUUCUAUUUCUAGAGUUUCUGAUUGGAAGAAUCCCAGCCAUUUCAACACAAGCAUGUCGUUCAUUUUCUCCUAUUAAGGAUGCUACAACAUACAAAGCAGAAUUAAUCUCCAUAAAAUAAUUUUGUUUUUCUCCAAAUUGAUACAAAGUUAUAAUUUUUAAUAGCACAAUUAGACAAUCUAAUCAACAUUUAAUCUAUACAUUUCAUAGCAACGUACACUACAAGGGAAUUAUCUUCACCAUUGAAUAUAAGUUAGCCCUUUAUAUAAAAGUGAAUGCACAUCACACAAGAAGAAGAAAUCCUUGAAUCUAAACAACAAAAAAACCUGUAAUCCCUUUAGUGAAAAUUCUGACUCUGUCACUGUCUCUAAAAAUAACAAGAAUUUGGAUAUGAAUGAAAAUAAUAUAUUACCAUAACCUUAAGCAAGAAUUGACACAAUCUUUCAGCCAAUGUGAUUUACCCUUUUCAGAGCUCAAUAACUUUGAUGGAGAUGGAGAUGUCAAGUAAAUUCUCUUAGGAAGAACUAAAGGAGACCAUAUGCUACUCUGUUCAUAAUCAAAAUCAAACUCCGUAGCAUCAAAAUAUUUUCCCAAAAGUCUAUCGGAUGUUGAUUUUGAAACUAGUUGAACAAGCCCGCUAUCAUCUAAUUGUUCUAAGGACGAUAAUGAUGACAUUGAUAUUGACGGUGAUGGUGGUGGUGGUGAUUCUGAGACAAAAUUUGAAUUUUUCACUGUUGUUUGAGCAUUUUCUUGCAUUUCAUUUUCAACUAAAACAGCAAGUUUUAAGUUAUUUAUAGGCAGCUGUAGUUUUUGUAGUUUUUAAAAAUGGAUCCUUUUUCGUAUUUCUGUAGUAAAUGAGACGCUCUAUUUUAGUCUCCUACAUCUUUACGAAUCAAUCACUUUCUCCAUUCCUUUUUAGUUGUCGUGAUUUCAACAAUAAGAACUUUUGACAAACAUUUUGUGAUGUAUUUUUUUAUCAGAUAUGCAAAAUAUUGCAAUUUAUUGUACUUUUCGUAUAAUUUUUUAAUAUCUAAAUUUUUAGUUUAAAAUAUCGAAUUAAUGUAAUCUAAUUUAUUUUAAAAAAAAUUAGUCAAAUUAACUUUUAACAUAUGACAACUAAAAAGGGACGGAGGGAAUACUAAUUUAUUUCCUGAAAUUUCGCCAGGGAAUAUUCUCAUAAUUUGAGAAAUAUUUAAAAGCUUUUGUUUAUGAAGUAAAAAAAAGAAUGUAUUUAUUUUAACCUUUACAAUUGAAAAAUAUUUUCUUUAUAUUGAGUUUCAAAUUCAAACUCCAUAGUAAAUUUAAAAUUUUAUGACAGACUAUUAUUUUUUAAAAGAAGGCGAAAAAAUAUUGACUAAUGAACGUUAUUUCUACUUCAUAAGUUCAUAGUACGAUAUCAUUGCCAAAAAGCUAUAAGUAUAUGAUGUUUAUACCAAGCAAAAUAAUUUAAUUUAGUACAAUAGUUAGAUAUAUGUAUCGUUGAUACAUGAUAUAUGCCUAAUGAUAUUAUUAGAGAUAAAUCUAGGAUGUAGUUUUGGUUAAAGAAUAAAUGUGAUCUUAUUAUUAUAUCAAUAUAUCAUAUAUAUAUAUAUAUAUAUAUAUAUAUAUAUAUAAAAUUAUCAAGAAUGUGGUGCAGUAGAUAAAGUUGCUCCUUAAUUAGAAGUCUCAAAUUUAAGCUUUGGAUAUGAAAAAAUCCUUGAUAGGGAGCACUUCUCUCCUAAUGAAGCCUUAUAAAUAUAAUUCAAAUUAAUCAAACUUUAGUACAGAUAAUAAAAUAUCGAUUAGAGAAAAAAAAUCGAGUGGACUUGAUUUUGCGUCAUAGCUUAGUUUUCUGGAGCUAUCUUGCCUUGGGAAACAGGUAUGCAGGGGCGGAGCCAGCAGUAUGUCAGGGGUUCACCCGACCCCUUUUCCGCGGAAAAUCAUACUAUUUAUAUAUGUUAAAAUUAUUUUUUAUGUAUAUACCUUAAAUGUCGAACCCCCUUCGGUUAGUUCGUAUAUUUACUUUUUCAAAUUUUGAAUCUCUUAUUAAAAAUUCUAGCUUCGCCACGAUAGGUGUGCAUGCAUAUCCGAAAAUAUAUCGUUAAAUAUUUGAAGUGGCGUAGGUGCAUGUAGCAAAAUUGUGUUGAAUUGUACAGUACUUCUUUUUUUUACUCAGAAUUUUAAAUAUAAAAACAAUUUUAAUAAAUUGAGCUUUACUUCUAAAGUUAAUCUGUUGAUAUUUAUAUAUUUUAAUAUUAAAAUUAAAAUAUUAAGUGAAUAUGUUAGGGGGUAUAAAGGGAGAAGAAUGUGGUUAUUAUUGUAGUGUAACUCUUGUAAUCGUUAUUGUCAUGAUCUACCAUUAAUUUUAUCCAUUAUUCUACUUUAGUAUACCUUGUAACGUAAUUUAUAUAACAUUUGGUUAUUCAUUUACCUAAUUUACUAUCCCAUAAUCUUCAUAUUCGUUGUAAGAAAGAAUUAUGCACCUAUAAAUAAUGUGAUUUUACUUUGUUUUGAAAAACAAGAAAUGUACAAGAGGUAUAUAAGAAUAUAUAGAGUGAAAAAUAUGACGUGUACUAUAUUGUGUUUAUAUUGAGGUGAGUGGGUGAAAGAAAGAGUUGAGACCAAAAAUAAUAUUCUAAGGCUUCGACUAAUUUACUACACAAAAGAAGUAAAUAUAUAUAUAUAUACUAAUUUUUUAUUUAUUAUUAUUAUUAUUAUGGUAAAUAUUGCACCUAGAUAAUAUGUUGCUAAGAUUGUGAGAUUAUAAUAAUUUUAAUACUUAAUAUAGGGAAAAAGGAUGGAUUUACCCCCAAACUUUGAUAAAUGGUACGUAUAUGCCCUCCGUUAUACUUUGCGUCCACCUAAGCCCCUGCCGUCCAAUUAUAGGUACAUACAUGCCCCUCUCACUAACGGUCCCCUCAUAUUGUACACGUGUCUUAAUCCUAAUCAACUACCCGUUUGACCUUUCUUUUUAACCCAUAAACUAACAACCCGCCCCAUAAAUCCAAUACCCACCCGAUUCCCUCUAAGAUAUAUCCUAAUUAAAAGACCCAAAUCUCCAUUGGAGAACAGCUUCAAUUUGGGCUGUGACAAUUCGUUGGGUGUGUUAAAUCAAGGUGGGAAUGGGAUGAUGAAUACUGGAUUAUAAUUAUAAUAAAUAGCUUUAACACACCCAAUGAAUUAUAAUAAAUAGUUUUAAUCCCGAAUUCGCCUUGCCACCAUUGUCGACGUUCCUCAUAUCCACAAACUCAUCCACCAGAUGGCCGUGUUUGAGCGACUCACCCAUCUCUUCUCCGCCACAGAAUCUUCACUUUCCUCCACUCUCUUCCCUGAAAACUCCCCACCUCCUUCACCGUUUUCCUUCUCGAAGUUUCUCAAACCCCUUUCCCUCUAAUCGACCAAAACUACCCAAAUUUCAGCCCCAUUCAUAAAACAGUAAAUCUGGAUCUCCCGAUUACCGACCCACAAGCUGAAACGUUCAGAUAGUGUGGAAAUGAUGUUGUGGUUGCUGGGUUUGUGUUGUUUUUUCCUAAUUAUUCGUCCUUCUUAGCGAAACCUGGGUUUUACAUCGAGGAUAUAUUUGUGGGAGAGUGUUAUAGGAGGAAAAGUUUUAGAAAGAUGUUGUUGUCAACUGUGGCUGCUCAGGCGGCGAAAAUGGGGUAUGGAAGAGUGGAAUGGGUGGUUCUAGAUUGGAAUGUUAAUGUGAUCAAGUUUUAUGAAGAAAUGGGAUUAAAUUAUAAUUAUAAUAAAUUGUAUUCAUCAUCCCAUUCCCACCUUGAUUUAACACACCCAACGAAUUGUCACAGCCCAAAUUGAAGUUGUUCUCCAAUGGAGAUUUGGGUGUUUUAAUUAGGAUAUAUCUUAGAGGAAAUCGGGUGGGUUGUUAGUUUAUGGGGCGGGUUGUUAGUUUAUGGGUUAAAAAGAAAGGUCAAACGGAUAAUUGAUUAGGAUUAAGACACGUGUAUAAUAUGAGGGGACUGUUAGUGAGAGGGGCAUGUAUGUACCUAUAAUUGGACGGCAGUGGCUUAGGUGGACGCAAAAUAUAACGGAGGGCAUAUACGUAUCAUUUAUCAAAGUUCGGGGGUAAAUUCGUCCUUUCCCCCCUUAAUAUAUAAUGUAUUUAUUAACUAAAUCAUGGUUAGAGAUUUACUAUGAGAAACUAAACCUUAAUCAUUUAUUUUAACCUAUACCAUGUGUCACUAAUCCAAAUAGAAACUUGGGGGAAAUAAAGAGAAGAGAAAUGGAGAGGAGUCGAAUACUAAUCUUUCAAUCUUAAUAAGCUCACCACACUCACACACCUGAAUAUACAUACAAAAUUACUCCAUUCGUAUCUGUUUUAUUUUAGUUGUCAUGAUCUUCUUUUUUAAAGUCAAAUAAUAAAAAAAUUAGGGAAAAAAUCUGAAAUAUAUUCGAACUUUGAUCGAAAUUGUUGUAACAAUAUCGAGCUUUGGAAAGGACCUUUUACCCCUGACACUAUUUAAUAGUGUAUUUUAAAGGUAUAUAUGUGCCCACGUGAACAUCAUAAAUAUUACAUCAUUAUAAAUAGUAAUAUGUCCACGUGGGAACAUAUAUACAUUUAAAAUACACUAUUAAAUAGUGCAGGGAUAAAAGGUCCUCAAUAAAGUUUGGUAUCGUAACAACAAUUUUGACCAAAGUUGAAGUAUUUUUCACACCCUUUUCCUAAAAAUUUAACUAAUAUUUUAUGAUAAUACGUUAGUAUAUUUUAAAUUUGUAAUUUAUAGUACUUUCUCAUACCGUUUUUGAAUAUACAACUAAAAAGACGGAGGAAGUAAACACUAUAGAUGAAAAUCACUCCACUCAAACCACUCUCAAACUAAGAACACAAGGAAACAAAAAAAAAAAAACAUAAAGAUGAGCUUCCAGCGUUUCUACGAUACAUGGUUUGAUCAACUGAAAGAAAUCGUACGCCAACUGAGCCAAGUUCCCCGCCCCGCCACCAGUGAACAACACCGUGAAUUGCACCAACAACUCGUUCAAAAAGUUGUGUCCCAUAUCUACGAGUACUAUCGAGUUAAAUCCUUAGCUGCAAAAAAUGAUAUCCUCUCCGUUUACUCCGCCCCAUGGUCUACAUCUCUUGAACGUUCUCUCCAUUGGAUCGCCGGCUGGCGACCGACCACCGCUUUUCACCUUAUCUACACUGAAUCCAGCAUUUUGUUUGAAUCUCACAUUAUCGAUAUUCUCCGUGGCCUCCGAUACGGAGAUCUCGGUGAUCUAUCGCCGGAUCAACUCGCUCGCGUUAGCGAACUUCAAUGUGAAGCUGUUCAGGAAGAAAAUUCUAUCACUGACGAAUUCAACGACUGGCAGGCACGAAAUCCUCAUCUCUCUCUUCCUUUUUCUUUUUUUUUUCUAAGGCCACUCUGUCAUUUACAAUAAUCAAUUCACAAUUCCAAGUAUUCAAUUUCAAAAUAAUUGAGAAAUUAGAUCUUAGUAGCUCAGUUGGUUGUCUGAUCCCCAAAUCAUCAAUUUUGUUCUAAUUAAGUCAAUUUUAGUCCAGAAUAGCGAGUAAUUUGUUGAAUUUAUCGUACAUGUAGGAUAGUGCAAGUGAGAUACUUGGUUUGAUGGGAGACAUAGAAGGGAAGAUGGAGAAGCUAGUUGAGAUUUUGGAGAAGGCGGAUAAACUGAGGUUGAAGACGAUAGAGAAUUUAGUAGAACUAUUAACGCCACAGCAAGCAAUUGAAUUUCUUAUAGCAUCGGCGCAUUUGCAAUUCGGAAUCCGUAGAUGGGGAAUCAAUCAUGAUCGUCAAAGAGAAAAUCCAUGAACAUUUUCGAGUUCAUCAUGCAGACUGGUUUGCAUGUUGUUAGUUUUUUUUUUCUUUUAAGAUGAAAUUUCUCAAAUUAGAGAAGAAAUUUUGGAUUUUUUUAAUUAUUUUGUUUUUUUUUGUUGUUGGUUUUUUUUUUCUUUUUUCUUUUACAAGUGAAUGAGUGGCUGUGACAGGUGUUAAGCUAACAAGCAGUUGAUCCCAUGCAGAGAAACACGUGUUAUUCAAGCAGCGCGCCACAAUGUGAAGACGUGGCGCACUGAUGAACAGCGGUAAGGGGUAAUUAUGUAAACCUAGAGUAGGAACUUUUGUUGAGCCUGUAUCAACUAAUCCAGAAUGUAUUGGAAAAUAGUAUUUUUAAGAAUGUUACACCCUCUUUUUAAAUUUAGAUUCCUGCACUGCGACGAAAAUAAUUUUUAGCGAUAAUAUAUAUAUAUAUAUAUAUAUAUAUAUUAAUAACGAGUGUUAGAAACUUUUAUCGACAUUACUCCUUCUGUUUCAUUUUUGUUUCAUUUUGUACGGUGCUUAAGAAGUCAUAAAUAAGAAAAUAAUUUUACUAAUUCGAAUAGCUAAUAUAGGAUAAUUAUUUUUAGUAUAAUGAUCAACUAAUAUGGGACGGAGGGAGUAGUUAAUCCAAUAUCAUUAUAGAUUUUUAAGGCAUUUACAGAGUUUUAGUUGCUUAAAAAAUAUAUUUAGUUAAUUAUUGUUAAAAAAUAUCUUUAGUGUAAUGUAGUUGCUCCUUGCUUGGAGACGUAAAGUGGUCUUCUCAGUUCAUUUUUAUUUUAUUUGUAUGCAAACAAAUAGAUAUUCAUAAUUUUUUUUGUCUAGUUAAAAAAUUAAAAGAUAUGUUUAUCACUUACUUUUUUAAUUUAUCUUUAUUCACGUAUUGCAUUUCUCAAAGUAUUAACUUUAUUAUAUUUUUUAAAAGGUCGUGUAAAAUUGUCAUGUUAUUUAUUAAUCGACUACUGAAUAAGUAAAGAAUAAAUUUUAAAAAAGUACUUUUUUAAAACAAAAAAUUAGAAUGUUUUUAAGUGCUUAAUUAUUGUGAAUUAAGCUACUGUUUAUGUUUGCUUUAAAGGUGACAUUUUUGUUUCAUAAAAAAAUAUAUAUUUAAAUUCAUACUUAAAAUUAGCUAGUUAAAUUUUCACAUUUCAAAUGAUGUCAUCUAUUAGAGCUGUCAAUAUGGGCUAGGCCCAUUGGGCCGAUUUGACCUAAUCCGUGAUUUGAUAGGGUUGAGCUAUGAUUUUUAAAGCCCAUUCUUUUAUAUUCAUCAAUACCUAUUCCUUAAUGACCUUUUUUAUUUAUAUAUAUAUUUUAACAUCAAUAUGGGAUCAAAUAAACAUUACUCCAUUAUUAAUGACAAUGAUUCACUUAUAACUUUUAUAUAUAUAUAUUUGUUAUGCGUGAAAAAAAAUGAACUAAGCAUUAUAUAUUACUUAUAUUUACGAAUAGGAAGGAAGAGGUUGUUUCUAAGGAAUUCCAAUUUGUAUAAGUGAAAUUUCAGAGUAGUGUUGCAAUCAAAUGAGAAUUAAAGAGCAAAAAGAUCGUCAUAAAUGAAAGUUGGUUAUUUUUUAAAUAAAUAUUUCAAGAUUGGCUGAAUAUUAAAAGGUGGAUCAACUAGUAACUAACCCACACAACAAGUCACUCCAAACUUUAGGCCCGUGAGCCCAGUAGUCAUUUGCAUGUAUUGCACAUUCGUAUGGUCCGAGGAGAAUAAGAAUGCUGGAUUAAUUGUUUGGUAUGUGGGAUAAGGACAUAAGGUGAUAUGUUUUAGAACGUGAUUGGCACUCUUUUCCUUAUUUUAUGUCGGCCUUUAAUUUAUGUCCUUUUAGCUAAACAUUUUCUAACGGGAUGUAAAUUUCAUAAAUUAUGCCCUACGCUCUUAAAGAAGUUGUGCUUAAGUUCGAUUAACGAAAGCAAAAAUUAAAAAACGAUCUAUUUGAAUGACAAAGAUUAAAUAUCAUUCCGUUGGAAAGACAUUUUCACCAAAAGAAAAAGGCAUUUAUUAGAGGAGUAUGUUAUUUUUUUCUCUUUUUUUUCCUACCUAGAAUCAUAAAUGAAUUUUCCUAUUUUAAGGGGAAUUUGUUGUUGAUCAUACUUGGUGAAUGCAAAAAUAAGUAAAUGGGAAAAACACCAAAAAAAAAACACAUGUGUUCCAAAACGAAUCCAUGUUUCCAUUUUUGCACCAUCAUUGUUGUGUGUAUGGUAUGGUUCUAGAAAGGGCUUAUCUUAAUGGAGUAUCUUUUAAAGGUAAGGGCUCAACUCUAAAAUUGUGACUAAAAGGAUCAACAAACAUUAGAAAACAAGAGGAAACAAAAGAUAUUUAGGAACUCUUAAAAUUGAAAUUAUAAUGUUUGGUUAAGAAAAAUUAAAUUGAAAUAACAUUAUUAUAUUGAGGUCUUGUUGAACUUGAUUGUGAAGAAGAUGAAAAUGGUACAUUAACUUUUGAUUGGUUAAGUUGAUUCCAACCAUUAAAAAUUGUUAGAAUUGACAUUAUAAUAUUUGAUAUUAUGUGGAAUGCUUGAUAAUAUAUAUAUCAAGUGUUUUGAACAAUUUACGCUAAAAUUGUGACACAACUUGUGUUGAAAUUUCAACGAAUCACCAAGAUUUAAAUAUGAUAAUGCACGUUUUGCUCAUCCACUUGGUACUUUUUUGAUGAUAUCAAUUAGGAUUGUACUAAAGUUCUAAUGAUCAACGAAGAGUAAAAAAGUCUUUGCAGCCAACCAUACGUAUUAACAUGCUAGUUAUUCUUGUUAAACUUAUUUAAACAAGAUCAAAACUAUAAAAAAAAACAAAAAAAUAUAAACUAUUGUAUUUGUUCAAAUCGCAAUUUACUGAGGUCCAUAUACUUUAGAAAAAAUGAGUGGAAAUAUCAACUUUGGUGUCUUUCUAUACUUUCAGGAAAAAAAAGAAAUCAAUUUUUCCUUAUUCCCUCCUUUAUUAUUUUCAUUAUUAUAUGAAGAAUCAAAUGGCCACGUGGAAGCAUAUGGAACAAUAGAUGACCAAGGAAAAAGAGUUGAAUAAAUAAAAUAUUAGUAGAAAAUAGAGUUGAUUAAAAUUUUCACAUCUGGUUUAAUGUAUUUAGAAAAGAGUUGAAUUAAUAAAAUCUUGGAAACGAAGAUUUAUCUUUGUUUUUUGGAAUUCAUAUAGAUUGAAAUUGAGAAUAUAUUACUCCUUUAAUCUUAAUUCAUAUGAUAUUUUUCGCCUUUCGAUAUUUAAAUGAAUUCAUCUUUAAUUGUAAUUUUUUAAAAAUAUCUUAAAAUUAUUAAUUAUUAUAACUUCUAAUAUAUUUAAAUCAUUUUAAAAUGUAUAAUUUUUUGUGUUAAUAUUAUAUAUAUUUAUAUAUAUUCAAUUUUUUAAAAAAUGUACCCACAAAACGAAUAAUAUCGUUAGAUUUUGAGAGAUUUGAGCCGUCUAAUUUUGACCAUAUCAUAUCAUUUAUACUCGAACAAGAAAAAAAAA
This 80617-nucleotide long non-coding RNA is filed under the name Solanum tuberosum (potato). RNAcentral's name for it is "long non-coding RNA (STUB_LNC007732)". The record is from RNAcentral. Lineage: Eukaryota; Viridiplantae; Streptophyta; Magnoliopsida; Solanales; Solanaceae.